AUCCUAAACACCUCAAACACCUUAAACAAAUAGAAGAUGUAACUAUUAACAACUUAUUCUAAGAAUUUGAUUUUCUAAUUCGUACCCGUCCAAGUCUGAUUCUCAGAAUUUUAACUCUUAAUCUAAAAAUCAGAAUGACACAAUAUUUUACAGUACUAUUCAAGACAUUCAUCGGUAUCUCCCAUAAAAUUUUUAAGAGGAUUUGACACCAAAAACAUUUUCAAACUAUUUUUUUCUUGAUAAAUUCAAAAUUGUCUCAUAGUGCCUUAAUUGAACAGUAUGGGUUUUGAGAUUUUUAUAAAAUUAUAUAUUAAUUAGAAAAUUAUGAAAUUAAAACCAGAAAUACUAGACGCAGAUAUUAACCUCCAUUUAAAAUGUUAGAAUUUUUCGAAUUCAUUUGGUAUUGCAAAUAAUUUUGUAAAUUUGGUCGUUUUGCUGGAAUUGUAGUUCUUCAAUGCAACAAUGUUAGUUUUGAAAAUCCAUAUAAAAUCGAAAAUAAAGUCAAAUCUUAUGAAAAAAAAUUUAUUCAAUAAGCUUUGCAUGUCUACUUUAAGAAAGAUAGGUUCUUGUUAAAAAUGAUUCAUAAAUAUAUGUUUUAUUUCGGGAUAUUCAUAAUGUCUAGAAUUGUUCAGUGUGUUUAUUGUGUUAGAGAUUAACUAACAUGACUCAACAAUAAAGCGCACUAAACAUAACUUAACACAUCCUAAAUCAUACCUAAUGGUUUGUAACCAUUUAAAAUCAUGCCAAUAAAACCCUGAGUAGAGCACAACGAUAGGAAAUCAUGUAGAGCAUAGAGAGAGUAAAACUUACCAACCAUUAAGAUUCUCUCUCCUAAGCAAAAGUUUGAAUUGUAGGGCAAUGAGUAAAAGAGUAUUAAGCAAUAAAGAGAAUAAAAAAAAUGUUGUGGAUUUAAGGUUAUGGAAGAGAGAAAAUGUAUACAUUUAUAGGGAACCUUAGGAAAUCCUAUUAUCUUUUGGAAAGAAUAAGUUUUUUUCCAAAAUUACCCCAUGAAUGCUAAUUAUGGAUUUAAUAAUCCUGAUUAAUAAGGGUGAUAAUGUGAUUUAUGAAUUCUAAUAAAACAAAAUUUUCAUAAUUUAAGAUUAUGGAAAUUUGGCGUUACAUUAAAGCCGCUCCCAUUCUUGGUCUAUAUAGUAUGGUCUUCCCCUAUGAGUUCUAUCUAGAAAACAUUUAUUGUUUAUUUGGACAUGAACAUUACAAUCCUUGAUUUUGAGCAGAGUUGAAAGUGGAUUAUAUAAAAGAAACUAGAAAGGGCAUACAAACUUUUGCUUGUAAAGUUUUUUUCUAUAUAUUUUUAAAUUAUUCAACUCUCAUUUCACACCAAUCUAAGAUUUUAUUUGAGGUUGAGGUUGAAACUCUAUAAGUGACUUAUUUCAUAAGUUUUGACAAUAAUAGCACAUGGUAAAUUUUUUAAAGCUACUUGUUUUAUAAGUUUCUUUAUUUUAAUAGCAAAGUUUAAAAGUAGGUAGGAGUUACUUUUUGUUAGCAGCUUAUUCCACUGCACAUUUUUUAAGUUCCUAUUACAACAUUAAUAUUUUAACAAAAAAUUAUAUCUUAUUUUUUUAUAAACCCUAAUAUAUAAAUAAACGACAAUUUAAACUUAUGUUUAUUUCAAUCAUUAUAUAAUAAAACAAUAGUUUUAUCAUAAAAUUUACUAAAUGCAUGCACUAUUUCAAACUCAUAUCAACAGUGACAACAUAGUUUUCACACCAAGCUAAUUUUUUAAUUAACAACUUAUUUCAUUCAUCUCCGCAAUCUCAAAUUAGUCCUAAUGGUCUAUCUUGAAUAUCUUUUCCUUUGUAAUUUUAAUUUUAAUUUUUUUUGCAUAUGUAGUUCGUCUCUGCAUUCCCAAAUUGGUCCUAAGGGUUUAUCUUGAAUAUCUUUUUCUUUGUGGUUUUAAUUUCAUUUAUUAUUUAACAAAAAUAAAAGAAGAGAAAAUAAAACUCUAAAUGAGUGCCAUAACUGAAUGGCUUUGCACCAGUACAGUUGGUUUUAUUUUCUGCUUACUAGUGAUAAAUACAUAUCGUUUUCAUGGGAAAGUGGGUACUACUACUCUAAGGAAUAUAAAUUCACUUUUCUUUUCUAGAAAAAGAAUGGUUUUAAAGAUUUUCACCUGCAAUUAAUAUUGCUUUAAGAUGCAAUAUCUAUUUUCUUUUCUAUUUUUGGAUGCAUGCCACAUUACUUUGGUAAGCUCCUUUUGUUUAUUGAUUUAUUUGUUAUAGUGUGUGUGUGUGUGUGUGUUUUCUUUGGCUAAAUGUUGAUGGUUACCAUGAAUUGUCUAUGACAAAGGUACUUUCUGUUUGGAUUAUUGCUCUUUAAAGCAUAUUGAUUUAUUUAUUUAUAAUAAACAUAUUUUUUAUUAAUAAAAUAUUUGAGAUAUUUGUUAGAUAUCUUAAUUGCAUAAAUAUUUUGUAUAAAGUCCGUUUAAUAAUAUUGUAUAUAUUUAUGUGAUCAUCAUAUGGAUUCACAGAAAAAUAUAAAUACAAAUUAUCUUAUGAUUAAAUAAUUAAGUUCGUAGUUGAUAAAUAAAGUUGGACGCUCUAUUUAUGUUUAGACUGAAAUGCUAUCUAAGCAACCCAAGAGGGGGGUGAAUUGAUUUUCUAAAAAAUAUAGAAUGCUUGAACAAAACUCAAUGCAAAUCUUAAACAAAUUUAAAAUAAUAAUAAAUAAACCAACUAAAAUCUAAACUAAAAUGUAAAGAGAUAAGGGAAGAGAGAUUCAUACACAAAGAUUUUUACGUAAUUCGGCCAACCUUACCUACGUCCACGCUCCAAGGUCGCUAGGCUUGAGGAUUUCACUAAUCAAACCUCUAAGGCUUCAAGAACACUUACAAUUGACUUCACAGGUGUUAAUCAACCUUUACACCAAGAGAUUAUUCCCAAUCUGUUAACCCAAGUGUAUCCCAACACUUACAAUCACUCAAAACAAAUAUUACAAAUAUGUUUUUCUCUCACACAAUAUAUAUGAUUACAAAUGAAUGCUCAAGGUGUGAAUAAAUGAAAUAAGAACAAAUUUAAGGCUCAAUGAAUGUUGUAUUCUUAAUUACAAGCCCAAUGAUAACUCUUUGAUCAACCCUUAUUUGAAUUUAAUUGAGCCAUUUUCUAGUUAGAGUUGAAAAGUAGCCAUUGUUGACUUUUUGAAUGAAAUCGGAUCACCAUUAACUGCUAUCGGUUAACUGUUUUGACUAAUCCAAGUGACCAUUGAGCAGAAUUUCAAGUAAUCGGUUAACUGUUUGGAAUUAUCGGUUAGCUGUUAAUUUCCAGAAACCUGCAAAACAAAUUUGGUUUGACCGUUCUUGCUAAACGGUUCAAGGUUAGCAUGUAGUUCCAUUUUGAAAAUUAUCGGUUAGUCGUUUAUUUCCAGAAACAUGUAAAAAAAAAUUUGGCUUGACUGUUUAAGUUAAACGGUUCAAGAUAAAAAAUUAAUGCCUCUCUGGAAAUUAUCGGUUAACCAUUUGUAGUAAAUGGUUCACCGUUAUUUUCCAAAAUCAUCAUUUUUACAAAAUUUCGCAGAGAAUGAUUUUCUGAUUAAAUUUAAUGAUUAUCCAUAUUUCAUGAACAUAUCUAGAAAUAUUAUACGACUUUUAAGAAAUUGUUUAUUAAUGAAAGCUCCAACAUUUUUUUAAUAAAAAACAUAUAAAGUUUGUUAUCGUCAAAAUCAAUAUUAUAGACAUACACAUAUUAACAUAGACCGCAGUAAAUUCAUUGAAUGAUUUGUCUUAAUCACGUAUGAAUUUACUAGUGUAGUUUAACUGCAUUGAACUAAGUCACAUAUGAAAUUUAAUUAACCUUAAAAUAAAUGUCAGACUUAUUAAAUCUCAUAGGCAUUGAUUUUAUUGUAAUCUCAAUCUUGAGUUAAUUAUAGUUUUAUGUUUGUGAUUGUCAUUUCAUUUGAAGUUGCCAAUGUGUGUAACAUACAUUUGUAGUAAAGAUUACUUGGUAUCUUGGUGGAAGCAAUUAUGAGCAAUGAGAUUAUAGGUUAACAAUAUAGAAUUUUUACAACACAUCUUUUGAUGGGUUUUCAGUACUUGAUCAUAGAAUUCUAUAGCCAAAAUGUGUCAACAUAAUUAGUAUGUUAAAAAUGAUCAAUAGAGAAAGCCAAUAAGUGUCAAUUUAAUUGGGGAUGUAGUACAAAUGAUUGUUCAGUAAAGAAAUCAAUAUGCCAUGGGUUGAAUUAUUAUUCGAGAACACUAUCCUAGAUAGAAUACAUCUAUGGAAGCCAGUUUCAAUCGUUUAGUGGAGUAGAUUUGGAAUCAAAUAAUUGGGCUAGUUCAAUUACAAGCCUAAAUAUUGUAGCCACUAUUGUAUGUACCCAUAUGGUCCCUAGGUUAGCUCAUUUACUUGAUUACACCACUAUUCGAUUGAUAAGCAAGAUAACUAGCUAUUUGAGUUAAAAGUCUAAAUAUAGCACUUGGUAGGAGGCUCCAUUUAAUAUGCUUGUGUGUAAGGGGCCUUAUGUUAUUUUAUAAGGUGGGCCCCUAUAACAGGAACAAGUAACUCCACUUUUGGGCUUUAUCUUAUUUUUAAUUUAAAUCAAAUAUUUUAAUUUAAUAGAAUUAAAAAAGGAGAUAAAUAAAAAGCCUAGGGUUUUCACUAAUAGGGAUAUAAAAAGGACUUGUUUCUCUAUAAAAAGGGACAUAAGAGCCAUAAUAUAUAGAUCAGAGAAAAAAAAAAUUCUCUCUAACUUUGAGAGGAAAAUUUUCUCUUGCUAGUUGCUGUGAGCUGUGAUAAAGGUGCUCACAUGUUAAGUGCAAAUUAAACUUGAGUCUUAACUUGGAAGAUCGUUGGUGAUAGAUCGUGAUCUUAUAAGAUUGGUGGUGACAAAUCGUGAUUUAGGAGUCUGAAUAUGUUCUACGAAAAAGCAAAAGUAUGAUUUCUAGAUUAUGGUAAUUUUAUAUAUUGUAUGAGAAUUGCAAUCCAAAUAUUUUCGUUGCAAAAUUAUUUUUAAACCAAAGAUUGGUAUCAGAGCAAUCUCAUAUUAAUAUAUAGAGUUACUGUAUGAAAACAAUCUCUUGUAUUAUAUGUAUAAGAUGAGUGACACUAAUUUUAUAUAUCAUUUCAUUAUGUGAAUGACUAACAUAAUGCGAUAAUAUCAUUUGAUUGUUGUAUGACUAACAUAGUACCACAUAUAUAUUAUAAAAUUUCUCAUACUUGAGAGGGCAAAUUUAAUAGUUAUUGUUGGUUUUUAUGGUCUUCAUUUUAUUUUUACCCUUUCUUCAUUAAAGUACAAUCCUUGUUUUUGGAAAUUCAUUUUGUUAACACUAAAUACUUGUCUUAAAUACUAUGGUUAGCCCAAAAAGCUUAAUUGUAAUAGCCUGAGCUCAACAACCAAGUAGAUAUUGUUCGCUUUGAGUACACAAUCUAUCACAGUUUUGUGGCCUUUGUAACCCAAAAGGCGUCUAUUUAGUUAGGAGAGCUCAAGACUUAUAAACUAGUGUAGGAACUCUCUUGCUAACGAUGUGGGAUGUUAUAUACCUCCCCCUUAAGGACCUUGCAUCCUCGUGAGGGCCACUAGAAAUAGAAUGGGAUGAAAUCAUAUCAUUAAUAUAUCCAUCCACACAUCGGAUUGUGAGUCGUCUCUGAUACCACAAAUGUUAUACCCUAAAUUUACCCAAGAAUCUCAAGAGAAAUUUAGAAUGAAACCUCAUAACAUUAAUCUUAUUAUUAUUAUUAUCAAAUAAAAUCGAUAUUGUCUAUAGUCAAACAUAGUCUCUAAAACAAUAAAUAACACAAUAAUUCUCCAAAAUAAAAUCCAGCUCUAAGUAAUAACCAAAGUAGUUACAAAAUAUUCAUCAAGAAAACGUCAAAUUUUUUCAGCUAACAAAUCCACAUCUCUAAAAUCAAUCUGCAAAAUGUUGGAGAGAAUGGGUGAACUGUUAGCUUAGUAAGCAAACUAAUGCAUAAGUUUAUUAAUAAAGAUAAAGUAUAUAAUAAUCAUUAUGAUGUACCAUAAAUUAGAAAACAGUAAUCAUUUCAUAGUCUAAUAAAUAUGUACGGUAAAACUCAGAAUCAGUUAAAUCAUAAGGUAAUAAUCAUUUUUAAUAAAUAAUUAUUUAAGAGAUCAUUUAUUAAUAAAACCUUUCAUUUGUUCAAUUUACUCACGUAGUGCCACCUGUACUCUCGAUGACCCAAUCAGUAGUUCAGUAUAUCACUUGUACUCCCAGUGACUUGGUCAGUAAUUCAAUCGGGAUAUUUUAUCAUGUAACAAUCGUCAAUAGGUGCACACAAUACAACUAAUUGUUCAGUCAUAUCAGUGUCUUAACUACGCACAAUGAGCCAAAACCUUAAAUACAGUUUUCAAUUUUUCAAUAUCAAUCAUUCAGUAAAAUUUUGGUAAAAUACUCUUAUGGGACAUUGAAUCAGCAAAGCUUUACAAAUAUUUUUAAGAAAAAAAAAUUAUGAAAAGACAAGUCUUUUAAAAUCAUUUUGAAAACAAAUUUAAGAAAACAUUUUAAAUAAGUUUUAACCAAUAUAUAACUUAUUAUCAUAAACUAUAAUAGUAAAAUUACUUCAAAAUCAUGAAAUGCCAUUCCAUAUGAACAACAUUACUCUUUUUCUUUUAAGUAUUUACAUAUAUACUUGUAAAAAAUAUUAUGCAUAAAUUUACUUACUUCGAUCCGAAGCAAUCAACAAUAUCUAAUCACUUGAGCUCACUCUUGGUUGUUGGGUUUGCUUAUUGCUAUAGGUAUCAAUGUGCAAGUUUACACAAUUAAUAUAAUGAUGAGUAUUCAGAUUGUCUCCAUAGGGAUUGAUGUCAUAGGAUUUGCUACAACAAUCUUAACAGUACAAUUUCAAUUUAAUUAAGAUAAAAUGAUUGAUGAAACUAAAAACCUAACAAAAUUAAAAAUGCAAUAAACAGAAUACAAUAAAGAAAAUUCUUAAAUCGAACGCAAAGAUAAACUCAAUGGGAAAGGAGUAGUUGAGUGGUUAAACUCAUUUAAUGGUAUUGACUAUUUUUCCACAUACAGUACUGUUGCUACAACAUCUACUACAAUAUUGGGUAAAAUCUCUCAUGUAUCCUCAGAUGUCACUUGUUGAAUAUCUUAUAUCUAAAUGCAACCUAACAGUGACCAAUUAUUAUGUUAAUAUUUGAUAUAACAUUAUGCGUUCUAGGUUCCAAUUGCCUAAUAAGGUGAAUUCCUAUGUCUGGUUCUUCACUAAUCUUAGAUUAAGAAUGACCCUUUGAAAUCGAGAUUAACUCAACUUGAGAAACUCAAUCUAAAAUCAAGUAUUGUCUUGAUCUAUUCCAUUAAGUCAGACCUUUUUUAGGCUGCUUCUUAGCUAGUAACCACUAAAUUGGUGGUCAGCUAAAAUAAGAUUUGCAAUAAGUAAAAUCAAGAUAAAAUGUUGCAACAAAUCCAAAGCAACACAAAUAUAUCAGUCAAAUAACCAUUAAGCUUGUUUAACACUUAACCAGAACAAAGUUUAGAUCAUGAUGAAAGUUAAAAUAGUAACUAUUGUAAUAUUUUCAAAUGCUAUUGGUGUCAAUGUGCAAGUGUACAUAACAAGUAAUAUAAUGAUGAAAUCUUUAAUGUUGCAGUGAUUGUUCUAAAUUAAAAUAAGAUAAUUGAUGAAACUAAAUAACUAAUUAAAAUAAAAUGCAAUAAUUAAAAAUGUAAUAAACAAAAUUCUCACGUCAAACACAAGUAAAACCAAUGGGAAUUGUGUAGUUGAGUGAUUAAACUCUCUUAAUGGUUUUGACUAUUUAUUCUAAUUUUAGGUUUAGUUGCUGCAGCAUCUGUUACAAACACUGGGUAGGAUCCUCAUGUAUCCUCAGUUGUCGUAUGUUGGAUGUCUUAUAUCUAUAUGCAAAUUAACAUUGACAAAUUGUUAUGCCAACAUAAGAUAUAGCAUUACACUCUUCGGUGCUAAUUACCCUACGAGGUGAAUCUCUAUGUUUAAUUUAUCACUAAUUUUAGAUUAAGCAUGAUCUUUUUGGAAUCAAGUAAAACUCAACUUAGGAAACCCAAUCUAAAAUCAAUUAUUGCUUUGAUAUAUUCCACUAAGAUAGGCCCUUUUGUGGCUCUUUCUUAGCGAGAAUCAUUAAAUGGAUAGUCAGCCGAAAUAAUGAAUAGAAAUAAGUAUUAUAAAAACAAAUGGCUAUAGCAAACAUGCAGCAAUACAUCCAAUCAGUCAAUGAACCAUUAAAUUUGUUUAUCACUCAACAACGAAUAAGUUUAGUUGAUGGCUUGCAAAAGAAAAAUAACAGAGGUUCAACCAUCAAAUAUAUUCUCAUGAUUAAAGAGUAAACGAGAAAACAAGAAAAAAAUAAAAAAGAUUGGUCCCCCGCCUGAUCUUGCAAAUUUUCUCGUCAAGUGCAACCUUAAAUCUUGCUCUUGAAUUCUGUUUUUCUCUUGUUUCUUUUCGCUUUUUGUUCUUGGGUUGACGGCUUCUUCAUUUCCUUUGUGUGUGUGCCUUUUUUAUAGUUGAAAAUUACGGAAAUCAGAAGUCUAGGGCUCGUAUCCUCCAGAUUAGGAAACUCCAUAUUGUAAUAUGUUAAGUAUGUCGCCCAAAAUCUUUUCUAUCAAUGCUCCAGAAUUCCCACAACAAUAGUUACUACAACAAUGGUUACAUCAUCUGCACUAUUCCAGACUUGUUUCAAUUCUUCUGCAGCCAUGUUCAUUUCUUCUUUUUGCAAGCCCAUUACAACGGCAUCCUUUCCUUGAAAUUCGAGCUUCCAAUUACCUACAAUUAUGCAUAAGAUUUAAGCAUACAAUUAUUCGAAUUCAUACAAACUUUAUUACAAUAAAACUAAAAUGGAUGUCGAUGCAAACUAUUAUUAAAAUGCAACAAAACACAUCUUUGACUCUCUAAAUAAUCUUGAUUUAAGUCUAAAACUGACAUGAUAACUUUCAUUUCAUAGAGUUAUCAGUAACCAUAAUUAUUUUUUCCAUCAAAUACAUUCCAAUAAAGAAAAGAAAACAAGAAAAUAAAGAUAAGGAAUUAUUCUCGCUUGAUCUUGCAAUCUCUUUUUUUUUUCUCUUUGAAUCCCCUGAUGUAGCCCUCGAAUCUUUCUUAUUCUCUGUUUUCUUUUGUUUUCUCUAUUGUUUUUCUUGAGUGACAUCUCUUUUUUUUUGUUAUGCGUGCUCUUUUUUACAUCUUGGAAUCAAGGCAACCAAAAGCGUGUGGCCAUGUGCCUCUCAUUUUUGGAAACCUUAGAUUGUAAUCUUUUUGUGUCUAUAGCUGCUUUGUUAGUUAACAUGCGCGAAAUCUUAUCUGCAGUUGCUGCAGGAUUUCUACAGCAACGACUACAGCACCUUCUCUGUUCCAGACUUGUUUUAGUUCUUUUUAAGCCAAGUUCUUUAUUAUCUCUGCAAGUCUGUUGUUGCAGCAUUCCAUCUAUGAAACUUGAGCUUUUUGUUCACCUACAAUCAUGCACAUAAUUAGAGUACAAAGUGAUUUAAAACACAAUUAAUUUAUUAAAAUUAAACUUAAAUAGAUGCUUAUGUAAAAUGUAACUAAAUAAUGAAAUAAAAAUAUAUCACUUACUCUCUAAGUAAUAUUGAUUUAAAUGUGGAAAUGCCAUGAUAAUUCUCAUUCCAUAGAGUUACCAUUGACCUAUAAUUAUCAAGACAAGAUUCUCAUUAAUAUCUUAUUCAAUUCUGACCUUGAGGAAAACCCAAAAAAAUCCUUAAACCAUUAACUCUUACUUAAGUACAUCAAUUCACCUGACAAUAGUUGACUACUUUAUAGGAGCUGAUUUCUAAUAAGCUAUAAAUAUGUAAGAAAAUCAUAAAUAUUGCAAAGAGAUACUGUAAACAUGUUGGCAUUCAAUAUAAAAUAUCAUAAGAUUAAUAAGAGUUCAUAAACAUCUCCAAAACCUAAUUUCCUAUAAAAACAUCAAAAUUAUCCAGUGGUGAUAUAAACAGAGGACUACUGAAUUCAUAACUUUAGUUAUACAUGUUCAAAAAUGGUGAUUCAAGUUUUAAUAAUUAGAAAAAAAAUAUGGAAUCAGAAUUAAAAUUGGGUUACUUCAAAUUAUAGAAAAUAGUUUCUAGGAUUACAGCAGCCCAACUCUAUGAUUUUUUAAUGAUUUUUAAAUAAAGCCAAAAAUUAUGAACUUAAAUAUAUAGAAACUAGACAUAUACACGUACGAAAAUAAAAAUUCCCAGAAUUUUCAAAAGUCGUUUGAGUUACUAAAUAAAUUAUAGAAGUGAGAACUACUGUUAAAAAUCAUAAUUUUGAAGCACUAAUGUUCUGACAUCGAAAAAUCAUUACAAUUAAUGUACAAUGAGUUUUUGAAAAUAAACAUAUGGAUAGAAAGAUAAAGAUGUCUAGUUUAAUAAACUAUAUGAGAUACAAUGAAAAAUAGCAACCGUAUAACAUUCAAUAUAUAUUGUUCACAAUUUUCAAGAUAACAUAGCAGCACUACAUCCACUCAAUAGCAAUAUAAAAUCAAUACAUAAUCAUGCUUUCACAAUUUUAUCAAUAUAACACAAACAAAACCAUUCAACCAAUCACAUAAAAUCAUAAAUAAAACCAAAAGUUUAAAAGAUCAUAAAUUCUUGCCUAUCUUUAAAACAAAAUCAAAACUCAAGAGCUUUUUUAAUAGAAAAGAGAAAAACAAUCAAAAUCUUCUUCUCUUCCUAUUCUAAGAACACAGGGGUUUACUCUUGUGUUUGUUGUUGUAUUCUUUUUUUCACUAGCCUCCAUGGUUUUGAGAAACAAAGUAACGUAAGAGGAGUUUUUAUAAAGUCAAGCCUUUUAAUACGCAAGGAAUUUAUUUCCUUUUGUAAUAAGUAUUUAAUAAAUUGGUAAAUCAAAUAAAUAAAAAUUAAAAAUUAAAACAUCCUCAAAUAUCAUUAGCCUAAAAUACUAUAUUCUAUAAAAUGCAUAUUAAAUAAAAUAAUAAUAGAACAAAAUAUAGGUGUUACAAUUUUUCCCAUCCUUAAAAGAAAUUUCGUCCACAAAAUUUACAACCUCGCCUUAUUCCUCAAAAUGCUGAGGGUACUUUUCCUUAAUCUCUAUCUCUCGUUCCCAAGCAGGUUCUUCUAUAGAAUAACUCACCCAAUAAAUUUUCAGUAAAGGUUAACUCUUUUCCUUAAAACUUGUUCCUUCUUGUCUAGGAUCUUUAUCGAUUGCUCACCGUAUGACAUAUCAUUCGAGAUUUGAAUAGGUGGGUAAUGCUAAACAUGAUCAACAAUGUACUUCUUCAACAUUGACAUAUGAAAUACACCGUGAAGCCUCGAAAGGCUCAAUGGCAAAGCCACUCAAUAUGUCAUUGUGCUAAUCUUCUCUACAAUCUAAAAAGGCAUAAUAAACCUAGGACUAAGUUUACCUCUCUUUCCAAAACGAAAGACUCUUUUCCAAGAUGAGACUUCCAAGAAAACAUAAUCCCUAACUUGGAACUGCAUAUCACAUCUACGUCGAUCAACAUAACUCUUCUACCUACUUUAAGCUAUACGGAGACACUUUUAUAUCAACUUAAUUUUGUCAACAGUAAUUUGAACCGACUUUACACUUUUGCCCAUAGAAAGUUUCAAAAGGCGCCAUGCCUAUGCUAUAAUGGAAGCUACUACCAUAGGCAAACUCUACUAAAGGCAAAAGUUCUUAAUUACCUCCUAAAUCCAAUACAAAAGCUCGCAACAUGUCUUUAAAAGUUUGGAUAGUCCUUUCUGACUGUCCAUCGGUCAGAGGAUGAAAGAUAGUGAUGAACCUUAACUUAAUCUCAAAUGGCUUUUACAAACCACCUAAAAAACUAGAGGUGAAUCAUAGAUCUCAAUUUGAGACAAUGUACGCUGGCACUCUAUGUAAUCUCACUAUCUCAUUUAUAAAAAGUUACCCCAGUUUCCAAAAGGUGCCAAUACUCUUCAUUGGUAAAAAGUGCACUGAUUUAGUUAAUCGAUCCACAAUAACUCAUAUCGAGUUGCAAUCUUUCCUCAAGCAAGGCAAUCCACUCACAAAAUCUAUAGUGAUGUGCUCCCACUUCUACUUUGGACUAGAAAGUGACUAAAGAGAUCUCAUUGGUUUUUGAUGCUCAAUCUUCACUUGCUGACACACUAAGCAUUUGGAAAAAUAAUCAGCAAUAUCACUUUUUAUAUUCAUCUACCAGAAAUUUUUCUUUAAUUUUUAAUACAUUUUAGUCUUCUGGGAUGAAACACUAAAAUUGAGUCAUGGCCCUCUUGCAUAGUCUCAUUUUUCAACUCAUUUUCUGCUAGUACACGGUCCCUAUCUAAACCACAGAACACCAUUAUCAUCAAGUCUGAGCUCAGAGCGUCCAGCCUUCAUUGCCUCGAAAAUUUUUCUGAAUUGUGGAUCCUCACUUUAUGCAGCCUUAAUUCUAUCAAUCGAGGUAGGCUAAGCCUUCAAAUAAGAUAAACCUCAAUUUGCCAUGUAAAAUAAGUUCAAUCCCUAUCUUCUUCAAAUCCUCCAAUAUGUGACCCUGAGUAGUAAUCAUACGUGCCAAUCAACCCAAUGACUUCCUACUAAGAGCAUUAAGCAAUCAUAAUCUUUAACUAGCUCUAACCAUCUCUUUUGCCUUAAGCUCAGUUCUUUCGGGGUGAACAAGUAUUUUAAACUCUUGCAAUCUAUUUAGAUUUCAUGAGUUUCACCAUAAAGAUAAUGUCUACAAAUCUUUAAAGCAAAGACCACAGUAGCUAACUCUAAGUCAUGAAUUAGAUAAUUCUGUUUAUAACUCUUUAAUUGUCACGAUGCAUGUACAACUACUUUACCAUGUUGCAUUAAUACAUAUCGUAGUCUAUUUUUAGAAGCAUCAUAUCCGUCCAUAUCAUAUGUGCUGGGUGAAGAGCUAAGACUAUGCUUGGGCCGAGGUUAGGCUAUAAAUGACAUAACCGCCAUCGCUAGAAAAAAUUGUCAAAACAAGAGUAGAAACUAGUCUAUUCUUUAAUACUUGAAAGCUCUUUUCACAUUCAUAACUCCAUUCAAACUUAGAAUUCUUCCUAGUUAAUGGAUUUGUAAGAUUAGAGAAUAUAUUCACGAUAUGUCUAUAAUAACCAACCAAACAUAUCUAAUAUUAGCAACAUUAAUUGGUUUUGGCUAAUUUACCAAAGCCUCAACCUUGGCUAGAUCAACAAAGAUGCCUUCCUUAAUAACAACAUGCCCUAAAAAAAUUACUCAGUCAAGUCAGAACUCAUACUUCUUGAACUUUGCAUAGAGCUUCCUUUCUUGAAGUGUUUGAAAAACCGCCCUUAAAUAUUCUUCAUGCUCCUCUAUGGUUUUAGAGUACACCGAAAUGUCAUCGAUGAAAACAAUGACAAAUCGAUCAAAAAAAGGUUGGAAGACUCUAUUCAUCAAGUCUAUAAAUCUUGUUAGAGCAUUAGUUAACCCAAAAGGCAUCUCAAGAAAUUCAUAAUACCUAUAUCGAAUUUGGAAAGCUGUUUUAAGCACAUCCUUAUUCUUCACUUUUAGCUGAUGAUACCCAAAUCAUAGGUUAAUUUUAGAUAAUAUUGCUGCACCAAAUUUAAUUAUUAAUAAUCAUUGCAUAAUAAUAUAGAACCAUAUUUUUUCUUUACAAAUAAUAUUAUAUCUCCCUAAGAAGAUAUAUUAAGGCAGAUAAAACUUUAUCAAAAUGUUCUUGCAAUUUAACUUUUAAUUCCUUUCACUCAACAGAUGCUAUACAAUAAAGUGCUUUAGAAAAUUUGAUUUCUCAAUUAGAAGGUAAGCUAGGUAAAUCCUUAGGAAAUACAUCUAAAAAUAUAUACUAAUCUUGGUGGGGGCCCAACGGACAUAAUAUUGACCGAUGACGUGGCAGCAUCAUAUUCUACCAACCUAGGUUCUUACUGUAGGCCUAACAAAUUGAAUUAAUGCCCAUUGACUUUUGUGUUGAUAUGAUGAUGUGGCAGUAUAUUAUUGGACCGAAAACAUGCAUACAAUAUGUGCAUAUGCAUGAAAUGACAAUCUUGAUAAUGUGUUCCAUCUAGUCAGAGCUUGCAAUGGAGCAUAAUCCUGUGCAUUCAAAUUGUUUUCAUCCUAUGGCCGUGAUUUACCUAUUGUAUGUAUAAAUAAGGAGCUCCCUCCUAAUUUGACAGUCUUGAAUUCAAAUUUGAGCUUCAUUUUAUCUAAUUCUCUCUAUCUUGAAUUCUUAUGUAUUUUAAUAUAAAAUUAUCAUUUUACCCUUGGUUCAAUAUGUGUAACUAAUUUAAUUUCUAGCUUAGGUAAAAGGUUAAACCUCAACAUGCUUCAUGGGCGUAAUUUGGUAAAUUUAUUUUCUCUCCAUCUCUUAUUUAUGUAGGUUGUUUAACUUAUCGUCGGCAGAUAAUGUAUCUUAUGUAGGUUUUGUAUGCUAUACCGACUCCUUGGUGAAAUAUCAUUAUUGUCUGACAUAAUAAGCACUUUACAUCAUAUUUAUUAGAGAAAGAAUUCCCUUUAAUGUUUGUAGGUUGUCUUAACUUAGUGUUAACAGAGAGUGCAUUUACAUUAUUUAGUGAUGGUCUUGCAAUGUUGUCGACAAAAUGAUUAUUAUUAUCGGACACAACAUGUACUUGACACCACACUUAACGAAAGAUCAUUACCCUCCGGCACAAUGAGCGCUUGACACCAUAUUUUUUAGAGUGAGGCUUAUAAAGAGUGGAAACCAUAUUUUUUGUAUAUUUUUUUAGUAUAUUAAAUUAUCUAGUAUCUGAAGACCACGUUGGGCCAUGUUCGAGCUGGGUAAGACCAAUAGAGCGGCAAAGCUCUCCCAACAAGUAUUUAACGUAGCUGCAUUCCUAAGUCUUGAACUAAGGAUCUUGAUUAAGUGAGAACAACCCCAUGUUAGCCAAUCUACGCGCUUGUUAGUUGAUGAUCAGUUUCAUAACAUUAAUUUUAUCUUUACAUCUUGAAAGUAUUGAAAUGGUCAAUCCCCUCCACUACAGCGUUGACACGUGUACAAGGGAAGCCAGACCCAAGUCAAAUCUAAUUUGAUUGGAGCCUAUCCUUACCAAGGAGAUUGUAGUUCAACCAAAUUGAGUAAAACAUGUGACAACGUAAAAAUCUCACCACCUUAUAAAUUAAUAUUAUACUAUUAUAUUGAAAUAUAUAUAUAUAUAUUAAUUUUUUUAAUUUAUUCCUUACUUUUAUUCAAAAAUUAUUAUAUAUAAAAAAAACACAAACACCACAUUGUUAAUAACUGUGUCACAAGUACAUAUUACUUAAAAUAAAAUUUAUAGACAUUUAUGUUAAUGUCACAAACUGCCAACGAGAAGAUGCUAUAGUCAUAUUGAUAGAUAGAUGAUUUAUUUAAUUAUUUCUCUUGUACUCAUGUCGGCACGAAGAAUGUAGGGUUUUUUAUUUAAAUAUACCAUAUUUACCCCUAAAUACUAAAUCUAUACCUUAUUAUACACACACGCCUCAUGAAGGUGGGAAAAGUAAAAAACACCCUUAAAAACCAUGAAUUUACUCCAUUUCUUCCUUUCACAAUCUUUUGCUCUCACCAUUCUUUUCUCAUGGUUUCCUCUUCUCAUUGUUUCUUCCUCUCAUGGUUUUAUCCUCUCUCACAAUUUCAUCUCUUACCUUUAAUACAAAGGUUUUGCUAAAGUCAAGUAUUCUCAGCUAUUUACUCGACUUCGAUAAAAGAAGUCGAGACUUGAAGUUGAUUGUUCUUAGCUAUUUAAACUGACUUUGAUGAGAGGAGAAUUUUUUGUGAAUAUUGGGCAUGGUUCAGUUUAAAUUGAGUAUUAUCGACCAUUUACUGAACUUCGAUAAAAGAAGAGAAUUUUUAUGGAAUGAAUACUCGGGCAAAGUUACAUUGAAGUCGAGUAUUCUCGACUAUUUACCCUACUUCAAUGGAAGAAGUUGAGUAUACUCAGUUAUUUACCUGACUUCAAUGAGAGGAGAAUUUUUGCUCAACAUUGGGCAUGGUUCAAUUGAAGUCAAGUAUUUUCGACUAUUUAUCAAAUUUCGAUGAAAAAGGUCAAGAAUUUUUGGUAAAUAUUGGGUGUUGUUAAGUUGAAGUUAAGUAUACUUGACUAUUUACCUGAUUUCAAUAAAAGAAGUCGAGAAUUAAAGUCGAGUAUUCUCAAUUAUUUAUUCAACUUUGAUAAGUCCAGUUUUGUGAUGAUUUCUACUGAGAAUACUUUUAUACUUUUCCUAAUUUUUUAAGGGUUUUUAUUUAUAUAUCCCCAAUUUACCCUUAAAUACCAAAUUUAUACCCUAUUACAUAUAUAUACCUCACGAAGAUAGGAAAAGUAAAAAAUAACCUUAAAAAAACCAAGAAUCCACACAUUUCUUCCUCUCAGUGCAGGAAGAAGUCAAAUACGAAGUCGGGUAAGUCGAGAAUUUAGUCGAGUAAGAAUUGGAGAUAAGUAAGUCGAGUAUAUGGUCUAGUAGGAAGUCAAGUAAACAUAUUGAAUGAGUUGAGUAUUAAGUAAAAGUCAAGUAAAAUUUAUGUAAUUUUUAAAGAGGUCAAGUAUUAAGUCGAGUAAGUACAUUGAGUCGAGUAUUAAUAUUUUUAAAGAACUGAAGUAUGGUAAGUUGAGCAUUCAGUCGACUAAGAAGUGAAGACAAUCGAAUAAGUCGAACAUCUAGUCGAGUACGAAGUCGGGUAUGAAGUCUGGUAAGUUGAACAUUCAGUCGAGUAAGAAGUGAAGGCAAUUGAAUAAGUCGAGUAUUUAGUCGAGUACGAAGUCGGGUAUGAAGUAUGGUAAGUUGAGCAUUUAGUUGAGUAAGAAGUGAAGACAAUUGAAUAAGUUGAGUAUCUAGUCGGGUAUGAAGUCUAGUAAGUUGAGCAUUCAGUUGAGUAAGAAGUGAAGACAAUUGAAUAAGUCGAGUAUCUAGUCGAAUAAGUAGAUUGAAUGAGUCGAGUAUUAAUUUUUUGUUGGUAUUUUAUUGAGGUUAUUUUUAUAUUUUUCUUGAUUUUUUUAAGGAUUUAUGUGUAAAAUUAUAAAUUUUAAUAGAUAGAGGUAUAUUUUGGAUAUUACGAGGGAAACGGGGUAUUUCCCACGCAAUUCCCUCUUUUUUUUUUAAGUUUAUACGUGUAAAGUUAAAGAGUCUAACAAUAUUUUGGAUAUUUUGGUGGGAAGGGGUAUAUCCCACGCAAUUCCCGCUUCUUGCAUGUACCAAUUCCCGCUUCCGACCUUAGCUUCCACUGGCCCAAAAAAACAAAAGCAGUAUCACCAAGAAAAAGCAGAAACAAAAGCUCAAUAAGCGUUAUCGAAAGCAGAGUCAUCCCCUUCGGUUCACUUCCAUAUUUUCUUUACCAAAAACAAAAGCAUUCUUCUCAAUCAAUCAGUCAAUCAAUUCCUUAACUUAGAGAAUUUUUUAUUAAAAAAAAUUGUAUCAUAUUCAUAAACGUAAAUUCUUUUCUUGCUCAAGGAGACAACCACUUUGCCCCACUUAACGCCCAAAGCAUUUCUCUUUCUCUUUCAAUACAAAUACCCACAAAGAUUUAAAAAAAAAGAAGAAAUUAUGUUGUCUCUUCACAAACCCAACUCAAAACAACAAGGAAAUACUGAAACGAGUGGUUCACUUAAUAGUAGUAGUGAGUUGUUCGAAGAAGAACGUUAUGGCGAGUUCGAGUGGGACCCAGAAAGAUGGGGGCCCACCACCGCGGACGCAGUCGAAGAAGACGAGUCGAGCCCAGACCAACGUGCACAACGAAGACGGCUCUGCCAUUGACAGUGAGCUCGUGCCUUCGUCUUUGGCUUUCAUUUCUCCAAUUCUUCGUGUUGCUAGUGAAAUCGAGAAGGACAAUCCAAGAGUUGCCUAUCUCUGUUCGUUCUUCUUCUUCUUCUUUUGUCUCUUUUUAUUUUAUUUUAUUUAUUUAUUUUAAUUGGGUCUGUUAAUGUGAUGUGUUUGGUUGCUUGCUUGUUGUUUGUUAUUUGAUGGGUUCUGUUCAUGUGUGUAAUGUAUCUUAGGUGCUAAGCAAAUUAAUGGGUGUUUAGAGCACAUGUUAAAUAGAUAGAAUCCAUUACAAUUUGAUUCCUCUUUCAUUUUUUUUUUGGCUCCAAAGAAGUGCAAUGUGUGUGUUUAUAUGGUGUUGUGGAUAUGCUUGAAUUCUGCAAUUCGUUUGUGAAAUGAUGUGCUUUCAAUUUGGUGAGUUUCAAUUAGGUAGGUUUGAAGGUCAGUGUGUGGCAAAUGAAAUUGUUCUACAUUUGAGAGGUGGGUGAAAAUUAGGAACUCUAUAUUGAAAAACUAUUGAGGUUUUGCUUUAUGGUACAUACUUGAAAAGAGAUGUGAGCCAUGUGUUGUGUUGGUGAGAAAGUGAAUGACAAAAAUGGUGCAUCAAAUGCCUUCACCUGAUGCAUUUCUUGUUUAAUUUGGAAAAGGAAGACGAGUGCUCAGCAUACUAGUGCAUGAAAGUAAUAGUUAUUGCCUAAUUUGAUCGAUAGAUGCAUUUUAAGCUUUCAGAGAUGUAUGAAUAUAUGAUGCUGGCUCUAAAUUGGAGAAAAAAGCUUUUGGAGGUAGAGCUUAUUGAUCUGUCAUGCAAAUCUCAAAAGGUAACGGUUUACUUCCUGGGCCUGUGAUAGCCUUUGCUGUUUUCCUUGUCCUCAGCAUUUCUACAUGCAGAAAAGAACUUUAGGUUUUAAGUCCAGUGGUAUAUGUCUAUCAAUUGCCUAAGCGGCCCAGGAAGACAUCUCAUGGACUGUUGAAGAUUUUUUUCUAUAUCACAGUUCAUUAGAUGGCUUUUCAUGCUCCAGAGUAAGAACACAAAACCACUCAAAUAUCUAGUCAUAAUCCUCUUUAGUUUCAAGGCAUUAAUUGAACAAUGCUUUUUGAAGGGUUUCCUCGUUUUUAACUCCUUAAUUUAUCUUUUUUGUUAGUAUGAACAAGAAAUGUUUCCCUUUUGUGAAUAAAGUACUGGGAGCCAACAAAAGCAAUAUACCAUGGUUGCUAGGUUAGGAAUCUAUGCAGUCCUUUAGCCGAUGUUCUUUCCAAUGGUUGUUUUAGGAAUGAUCUUCAGCCUUUCUUCAGCUUUUGUUGAUAUACCAUAAAUGUUACAUAUUUUCCAUUUUCUCAUAGACAAUCAAUGGGUUUCUAUCUUGAGCACUCAAUAAUACUUCUUGACUGAAAAAAGUUUAUCUUAUAGACCACUUUCUAAUUCUUUGCUCUCCUGCUUUGGCUUUUGUUCCCAGAUUGAUAUAUUGUAUGUUUGAUCCCAAUUACUUCAGAUUGUGCUUCAUUGAAUAUAGUUGGAAUUAAUUUUUUAAGAGUUGGAGUAUGCCCUUUCCAUAGGAGGUCUGUCAAUUUUUUUUUUUUUUUAAUUUGGACAUGAACAUUAUAAUCCUUGAUGAUGGAGCUGGUUGAAAGUUGAUUAGGUAGAAGUAAUUUGGACAUGAACAUUAUAAUCCUUUUUUUAAUUUGGACAUGAACAUUAUAAUCCUUGAUGAUGGAGCUGGUUGAAAGUUGAUUAGGUAGAAGAAAGGGGAUCCAAACUUUUGCUCGUAAAUUUCUUUUGUAUGUAUACUUUUUUAAUUAUUCAACUCUUAUCUCACAUCAAUCUAAGGGUUUAUCUUAGAUAUCUUUUUCUUUGUAGUUCUAAAUAUUAUUUUGCAUAUGUAGUUCUUACAAUAAAAAAAAAAAAUCCAUUUAUUAUUUAACAAAAAGAAAAGAAGAGAAAAGAAAAAACUAAAUAAGUGUCAUAACUGAAUGGCUUUGCACCAAUAUUUGGUUUUACGUUCUGCUUAACAGUGAUAAAUAUAUAUUGUUUUCAUGAGAAAGUGGGUAUUUACUGCUCUAAGAAAUAUAAAAUCACUUUUUCUAGAAAAAGAAAGGUUUAUAAAAUUUUUCCCCUCAAACUAAUGUUGCUUAAGAUGCAAUAUCUAUUUUCUUUUUUAUUCUUAGGUGCAUGAUAUGUUUGUUUAGUAAGUGCCUUUUGGUUAUUAUUUUAUUUUUUAUUUAUAAUUUUUCGUGUGUAUUUUCUUUGGCCAAAUGUUGAUAGUUACCAUGACUAGUCUAUGACAAAGGUACUUUGAACGUGCUUCUGUGGUUGAAAUUUACCUUGAUUGUGACCUCAGUAUAUUUUUUUCAACCAGGUCGCUUCCAUGCACUCGAUAAGGCCCAUAGGAUGGAUCCAACAUCAAGUGGACGUGGUGUCCGGCAGUUUAAGACCUAUCUGUUGCAUAAACUCGAGAAGGUAGACCUAAUAGUUAUUGUUGGUUAUUAUAAUUCUUAAUUUUUCUUUUCUUACUUUUUUCAUUGAAGUACAGUCCUUGUUUUUGGAAAUUUUUUAUUUUAAGACUUGUCUUAAAUACUAUUGUUAGCCUAUGAGCUUAAGCUCUUGGGUCAAGCAGUUUCUCUAAUUUGGUAUAAAUGCCAAGGUCUUAAGUUCUCUUUCCCCUACAUGCAAACUUUCUCAUCUAUUUCUUCAAUUUCCUGGCUCACUAUUGGUUUUUGGUCUUAGUCCAUGUUUCAAGUGAUAAGGGCUGUUAAGAUUUGUCUUAAAUACUAUUUCUGGGCCCUUACCUAUGAGUUUAUGCUUUUGGGUCAAGCGGUUUCUCUAACAUAUGUUAAUCAUCUAAAUGAUUUAUCUUUUUGUUUGGUAUGUAUAGCAGUAUAGAAGUUAGACCACCUUUAUUAACUUUUCUAAUGGUUUGGUUCUCUGCAAAUUUUGAAUAUAUGUGUCAAUGGGGUUAUAAUUUGGAAGUUUGGCCCAAAAGGCCUUUAACUCAUCCUCAUCUUGCCAAAAUAGGUCCCGGGGGGAUGUAUAAAUGGGGUCUUACCCAUUCAGCCUUUUAUAUUAAAUGACCUCUCUCAAGACUUGAAUUCUGUAGUUAACAUCCGCAGCCAAGGACUUUUUAACUUGCGCUUGCCUAAUGUCAAUAAUUCUUUGUAAUCUUGCGUAUUUAUCUAGAGUAAUUGCCCCUUUUGAUAUGUAUUUAUCUUCAUCAUCUUUUAAGAAGAACUCGAGAGCUGGUGGUCACCAUGGAGUAGGCAUUGUAAGAUUUCAUAGAUAAAUUUUACAGAGACUGUAAUCUCCUAUUGCAAUGUAUAUGAUAUUGAUGGUUAUCUUAUUGAUUGUCUAAGAUAUGCACAUGAAUUCAUUGGCUAAGUAUUUUAGAUACAUCUUACUAGCUUUCUUUUUUCUUUCUUUCUCUUAUCUAUUUAUUUAUUUUUUGAAUUCUUAUUAGCUUUCAGAACUGAUGUCAAGAAUAAAAUCCAAUGACAUUUCAAGAAAUCCAAAAUGAAAAUUUGUCACAUCCUAAAUUUCUAUUUGUUGCAGGAGGAAGAAGAAACAAAAUGUCAGCUUGCAAGAAAUAAUCGAAAUGAAAUCAUAGCAUACUAUCGGAAUUUCUAUAAUGAACAAAUUAAAGGAGGCCAAUAUACAAAAAAACCGUAAGGCUUGAUGUUAAAUUGUUGACGUGCCCACUUCAGCUAAACACAAUAUUCAUUAUCUUGUUCUUUUUCAUUUUUGCUUCCUGUUCAAGGGAGGAGAUGGCUAAGAUUUUGCAGACUGCAGUAGUUCUGUAUGAUGUGCUGGAAACAGUGGUACCUCCGGAAACAGUUGACGAUCAGGUUUGAUUUGUAUAAUAUCAGUUUCAUUACAUAUAUUUUUAAGUUUAUCUUUGCAUCUGGAAAGUAAUGAAAGGUUAAUUCGCAAUUGAUUUGUCCUUGCAGAUCCACAGGUAUGCUCAAGAUGUUCAGAGGAAAAGAGAACAAUAUGAACACUAUAACAUUCUUCCUCUAAAUGCUGUUGGGGCCAAAGCAGCAAUCAUGGAACUUCCUGAGGUCACAUAUUUGUAGUAUUUGUAAUCUUUGUUUUUCUUAUGCUCAUUAAUUUUAUACAUACUCAAUUUUCUUUAUCCUCCCUGUGGGAGUAUAGAUCAAAGCUGCACUUCAUGCACUGCGUGAUGUGCAAAACCUUCCCAUGCCUAGUGUUCGUUUGGCAACCAAUGCUCCUCAUGACUUGCCUGAGGAAAGGAACAAAUCGGUUUUUGACAUACUUGAUUGGCUUUCUUCUGUUUUUGGGUUUCAGGUAACUUAUUCCUCGAAUCCCCCAGUUUCCUUUUAUUUUUCUAUCUACAUGUCACCUGCUGUAGGCUUCAGUUCAUUGGUUAUUAAGUUUAACUCUGUUCUUAGUCCGCUAUUUAUGAUCCCACUAUAUCAUAUCAAAAUUGAUGAUAAACCUUGGACUUGACUUAGAGAAUCAGCUAUUCUCUUGAUGCAAUGCACUCCGGGUAUUUCUUCCCCGUCCCAACUCCAUCUAACUGAGUAACUAGGACAGAGGUAUCAUUUUCACCUGUUGGGUAAUAGAGAUUCAACUUUCUAAGCCUCACAUCCAGGUUAGUUAGGAUUUAUUGUACAAAUCUUUUCCCCAUAUUAUUUCCUACCAGAGUCAUAUUGCUUGCAGCCUCUUUAGAACUAAACAUUCUGUUCUCUUCCAAUACUUCUAGGUGCAUAUUUCUUAGUCUGUUUCUUUCUCCUUUUUUUUUUUUUUUAAAUACCACUUCAAUAUAGUCGCUCUUCUGUGCUGAAAGAUUCUAGGUCAAUGUUGGACAUAACAACAAGCAACUCAUAUUCAACUGAUCCUGAUAUGUCCUCAGUCUAUUUUUGACGAAUUUAUUCAUUUCAUAUCUUGUAAAUUCUUUAUUCCUCUGUUCCAUCUUAAUCAUCAUCCAUUAUUUCCACAUCCAUUUUAGAGAACCGUUCUUUCUUAACUGCGUCAAACCAUGCUCCAUGAAGUGUAACUGGACUUGUGACUGUUUAUAAAUAUUUUUCUUCUGCGCUGUGGUAAUUUUAGAAUCACGUAAUACUUCAGUUUAACUUCUCUAAAAGUUUUAAUUCUUCACUCUCCUAGUGGACAGCUGGUCCACUCUAUGUUUUGAUUCUUCAUACUUAGUACAAUUUUGAGUUUCUUAUCAAAAAGANNNNNNNNNNNNNNNNNNNNNNNNNNNNNNNNNNNNNNNNNNNNNNNNNNNNNNNNNNGGGGGGGGGGGGGGGGAGUUGAACUUCUCUAAUCAUCCACCUCACUUUAAUUCUGCUGGUUUCAACAGUUACAUAAUUUUCUACUUGCAAAAAUAUAUUAUCCUCGCUUUAGUUCUGUGGUCAUCAUAUGCAUCGGUCUCUAUAGUUUAUAUAUAAUUGACUUAAGAUUAACUAAAAGAAGGACACUUAAUGGUUAUAAUUUUUCACCAUAUUCCCUUGUAUUUUAUCUUAUUCUUACUUAACCUAAAACCUUAGACUCAUAAAAUUAUUUCUUGAUAGCUCCAGCUUGUGACCAGCUUGUGAUACUUAUCAUCCUGGUUUGAUCUAUAUGUACAAUGUUGUCUGUGAAUUAUGUGUAUAUCUUAAAAAUCAAAUGAAUUUCUUUUGAAGAAAGCAUCAUUCUAUCUGAAACUUUCUUUUUGUGCUUCUUAAUGGAAUUUGAAGAAAGGAAAUAUAGCGAAUCAGAGGGAGCACCUUAUACUGCUUCUUGCCAAUAUGGAUGUACGAAAAAGGGAUCUUGUAGACUAUACCCAGGUAAAUAUUUUUCUACUGCCCACUUAAUGCUUUCUGAUAUCUUAGAUUUUGCCAAUAUGCUUAAUAUAUGUCUUAAUUGUAUUCCUUAUAUCUUCUUAUAUUGAAAAUUGACAAAAGCUUAUUUCAGCUUAGAAGCAGCACUGUACAGAAUUUGAUGGAUAAAAUCUUUAAGAACUAUUGGUCAUGGUGUAAGUACUUGUGUUGUGAACAAAAUAAUAGGUAAGUUACCAUGUUGCCUUCCAAAAUUAUAAGCUUAAACCAUGGAUUGGUGGAUUUUUUACACACUGUAAUAUGCGGUGUACAACAAGAUGAUCCUUUAGUGAGAGGAUUAUUUUCAUUUAGUGAGAGGAUUAUUUUCACUUUGCAGGGUUCCUCCAGGUUCUGACAAACAACAGCUACAGCUUAUCUACAUUGGGCUUUAUCUUCUUAUCUGGGGUGAAGCUUCAAAUAUUCGUUUUAUGCCUGAAUGCAUUUGCUACAUCUUCCAUAAUGUAAGUUUACUGUCACUAAAUACGAUUGGUGAUGUGAGUAUUCUCUAUCUGUAGGCGGGAGCGAGUUUCUUUAUGUCUUGCAGUAUUAUUUUUUGGAAGGUGGAACUUUCUUUGUAUUUUAGACUAGUGCAACCGUGAAUCUUCGAUCAACUGAAGAUGAAGGUUGCUUACUUGUUCAUCAAUUAUUAUUAUAAAGUUCUGUCUUGAGUCCUCUGGUUUUUCUUACUCUAGAUCAUCUCUGCAUCAAUCUUCUGAAAUAAAAUUAUAAAGUAAUUAGUCAUUAGUGUGCAUAUAUUCGAAGUUUAUUGAAGAAGAGGUUGAACAGAAAUAUGUGGUCUUCUCACUUUAAAAGGAUCCUAGAUUUAGAUGUCUCUUUCAUUUGUUUAUCCUGUCAAACCUGGGGUAUGAGCUGGCAAUUUUGACAGGCAUGCGUGAGUUUACGACUGGCUAUUUCUGUAACAAAAUAUAGGAAGGAAACAGUAAACACUGCACUUUCAUAUAUACUUUAUUAAUCAAACUACAAGAUUAUAUAUAUGCUUGAAGCUAACAUAGACUAGGAGUCUUAUCUUAGCAAAGUCCUUUAUUCUAGGGAUAAAAACAAAAAAUAAGUAGAUAGAACAUAUCAUGUAAAACAACCACCAGAUAAAGAUAACUCUAUUUUUUCAAAUUCUGCCACAAUUUCUCACUGUAAUUUGAGCGAUCUGAACUGCCUACCGCGUUUGUCAUAAUUUCCCACUAGUCAUUAGUCAUAUUUCUAGAUGGAAUUUCCCAAAACUAUAUGAGAUAGACAAUGUAGCAGUAACAGAACCCACUGUGGAAUUUCCCAAAACUAUAUGACAUAGACAAUGCAGCAGUAACAGAACCCACUCAUACACAGUUAUAUGCUGAUAUUGUUUCUGAUACCAUUGUUAAUCUGAUUUCUUUGGUUUGCUUCUUCUUAUCAUAGCUAAUGGCUUUUCAUAAACAUAAGUGUCAUUAAAUUUUACAUGAUAGGAAAAUCCAUAAUGAAUGAUUUGGUAAAACUCCAUGAUCAUAUAAGCAAUCGUAUUCAGUUAUAGCAAAUUCAAGAUUGGGACUGGGGAUCUAGUAUGUCAAUUCCACAGAAUUAAAGUAAUCCUCUGUCUGUUUCCUGAUUAUCUAAGAUGGCAGAUGUGGUUUAUGGAAUUUUGCUUAGCAAUGUACAUCCUGUCACUGGAGACACGAACCAUGGUAACCAAACAAUUGCACCUGAUGAAGAAACAUUUCUGCAGACUGUCAUAACCCCCAUCUACCAGGUGUUGCAGAAGGUAUUGUUUUGCUGUAUUGCACAUAUUGUCUUUUUCAACACUUGCAGCUUUCUAUGUGGAAAUUGAUUAUCUUUGUUGGAAAAAGGAAGCCAAGAGAAACAAAGGGGGCAAGGCAAGCCAUUCUAGGUGGAGAAACUAUGAUGAUUUAAAUGAGUACUUUUGGUGAGUUUUCUAAUAGUAACUUUCUUUUUCAUACUUCAAUCAGAUAUGUCUGAGCUUGUUUGUAUUCUUGCUGUUGUAUAGCCCUAGAGAAUCUGUCAAACCAAGCUCUAGGUGACUGUUUCAGUCCAUAGAGUGAUUUUUUCAAUUUACACACUAGUCCUCUUCCUUCCUUAUCAAAUCCAGGUGGCAACUCCAUGUAAACCUCCUCUGCUAAGUCUCCGUUAAGAAAAGCAUUCUUAACAUCUAAUUGUUGAAGUGGCCAAUCCAAGUUUGCAGCCAAGGAUAAUAGAACUCGAAUUGUAUUUAAUUUAGCGACUGGAGCAAAUGUUUCCUGGUAAUCAAUCCCGUAUGUUUGAGUGAAUCCCUUUGCUACUAGUCGUGCCUUAUACCUCUCUAUUGAUCCAUCAGACCUAUACUUGACAGUAAAAACCCAUUUACAACCCACUGGAACCUUUCCUUCUGGUUUUUGUACCAGCUCCCAUGUUCCCAUCUGUUCUAGAGCACUCAUCUCCUCUAUAACAGCCUGUCUCCACUUCGAGUCUUCUAACGCUUCUUGAAUAUUCUUUGGAAUUUGUACACCUGAAAGAUUAGUAACAAAUGCUCGAAGAGAAGGUGACAGUCGGUCAUAGGUCACAUAAUUAGAAAUAGGAUAUUGAGCACAAGAUCUAAUCCCCUUUCUUAAGGCUAUAGGAACAUCAAGAUCAGCAAUUUCAGGUUUAAGAACAGUAUUUUGAGGCUGUAUACCUUCAUUCAGUUCGGUCUCUUGACAGUGCUGUCGGUGAGCAGGUUCCUCAACUCUUUGCGGAUUAUUCCGUCGUGAAUAAACACGUAGCUCUUGUUGUUGCUGUGUUUCUCCCCCUGUCUUGAAAUUUUCAUCAUCAGUAGACUUCAUUGGCUGAGAUGAAUUUUGAGUUGUUUCUAAUGAAGACAAAUCUGAUUGAGACUGACACGGCUGAACGGCAGUGAGUUUAGGUGGAGAUAACAAUUCUGAAGACUGGGGAAAAAUUGGAGAUGGUAAGGACGCUGCUCAAAAAUUCCCUUCAUUAGAACUCUCCCCCUGAAGGGAAUUCUGGGCAUAGAAAGGGUGAGUUUCAAAAAAGGUAACAUCCAUAGAAAUGAAAUAUUUGUGCUGUUCAGGAGAAUAACACCGAUAACCUUUUUGAGUGGCUGAGUAACCUAAAAAAAUACACUUAUGAGCUCUAGGAUCUAGCUUUGUUUGACUGCUGUACGGCCAAGGCGGAUGUACGGUACAGCAGUUUUUUUCAAAUUCUGCCACACUCCCCCUCAAGCUGGACAAAAAAACAUUGAACAUUCCCAGCUUGUCUACCAACUUUUCAAACACUGGUUUGACUAAUCCUUUAGUAAGAAGAUCUGUAGUUUGUUGAGAUGUAGGCACAUAUGUCAUAGAAAUUACUCCUUCUUCUAUCUUCUCCUUGAUGAAAUGCCGGUCAACCUCAACAUGCUUAGUUCUAUCAUGAUGUACUGGAUUAUGAGAAAUAUCUAUGGCUGCCUUAUUGUCACAAUAAAGUUUCAUAGGUUGAAUAUCUGCGAUUUUUAGCUCCCCUAAUAAUAGUUUCAGCCAUAACAACUCACAGAUACCUUGAGCUACUGCUCUGAACUCUGCUUCAGCACUACUUCUUGCCACAACUGACUGUUUUUUACUUCUCCAAGUUACUAAAUUCCCCCAUACAAAUGUGCAAUAGCCCGACGUAGAUCUUCUAUCCUUAAUUGAACCAGCCCAAUCAGCGUCUGUGAAGGCUUCAACACUUCUUGCCUCAUUCUUUUUGAAGAGAAGACCUUUUCCUGGAGUUCCUUUUGUACCGUACAUCCGCCUUGGCCGUACAGCAGAUGGUAAGGACGCUUCCCAAAAAUUCCCUUCAUUAGAACUCUCCCCCUGAAGGGAAUUCUGGGCAUAGAAAGGGUGAGUUUCAAAAAAGGUAACAUCCAUAGAAAUGAAAUAUUUGUGCUGUUCAGGAGAAUAACAUCGAUAACCUUUUUGAGUGGCUGAGUAACCUAAAAAAAUACACUUAUGAGCUCUAGGAUCUAGCUUUGUUUGAGCCAAACUAUGGAUAUGGACAAAGGAAGUACAACCAAAGACUUUAAGUGGCAGAUCCGUACAUACUCGAGUGUGUGGAUAAUAUUGGAGAAACAUGUUAAGUGGAGUUUGGUAAUUAAGAACCUUAGAAGGCAUGCGAUUAAUUAAGUACGAUGCCGUAAGAAUAGCAUCUCCCCAGAAUUGUUUAGGUACAUUGGUAGUGAACAUAAGAGACCGUGCUACUUCAAGUAGAUGACGAUUUUUUCUUUCGGAGACACCGUUUUGUUGUGGAGUAUAAACACAAGAACUUUGGUGUAUAAUCCCAUGGUGUGAAAGAAAUUGACUAAGAGAAGUGUUAAAAAAUUCUCUACCAUUAUCAGUACGUAAAAUCUGGAUUUUGGCUUGGAAUUGUGUUUGGAUCAUGGAGUGAAAAUUUUUAAAGGUUUGUGCUGCGUCAGAUUUAUCCUUUAAUAGAUACACCCAACAGAUUCGUGUGUGAUCAUCAAUAAAAGUAAGAAACCAUUUUAUACCCGUAAGGUUUGAGACACGAGAAGGUCCCCAUAUGUCACUAUGAAUCAUUGCAAAAGGUCUGGAAGGUUUGUAUGAUUGAGAAGGAAAAUAGGAACGCUGAUGUUUAGCCAAUUGACAUACUUCACAAUGAAUCAUAAGAGAAUCUUUAUUACGAAAUAAUUCAGGAAACAAAUUUCUUAAAUAUGGAAAACUAGGAUGACCUAACCUACGAUGCCACAACAUUAUUUUUUGUUCCCUAGACAUAGAAAGAGAUCCACAGUCAGCAGUAUGAGGUUGUUUAUUCACGUUGAAAUCCUCAAAAUAGUAAAGUCCCCCAUGUUCCCUAGCACUGCCAAUCCUCCUCCCCGAAAUUAGGUCCUGAAAUUCACAAGAGGAGUGCGAAAAAUGAGCAACACAAUUAAGAUCUUUAGUGAUUUUGCUGACAGAGAGUAGAUUGCAAGAUAAUUUAGGAACAUGGAGAACUGAUUUGAGAAUUAUGCUAGGAGUAAUCUUUAUAGUGCCCAUCCCUGCAACAACUGAAAGUGAACCAUCAGCUAUCCUUACUUUAAAAUGAUCUGGACUAGGAGCAUAAGAAGAGAAAAAAUGAAUGCAGCCUGUCAUGUGAUCUGUGGCGCCAGAAUCAAUGAUCCAGGGAUCUGGAACCUUGGCAGAAGCAUGAAAAACUGUUGGGAUCUGGAAAAUACCUUUUUGGGCCAGCAAAGAGGACGAAGGAAUAGGAGUUAAAAGUUUUUGAAGCUGUUCAAGUUGUUCUUUGGUAAAUGAUGGAAUCACACUGCUUACACCUUCCUUUGGAACACUUUGAUCAGUGUCAGUUGCAGAUUGAAAUCCUUUUGGACUUCGCUUAUUGCCUCUAUUGUCUUUCCAAUUUGUUGGUUUACCAUGUAGCCUCCAACAACGCUCUUUGGUGUGAUUCGGUUUGUGGCAAUGAUCACACCACAGCUGGCCACCUUUGUUGGAAUUAUUAGAUCCCUGAACAGCCAAAGCAGACAUUUCAGGUGCUAUAAGUGAUUUUGGCUCCCCAAGCAUGACCCGUUUACGACUCUCUUCUCGUCUGACUUCAGCAAAGAUUUCUCGGAUGGAAGGUAAUGGUUUAGUGCCAAGUAUACGACCACGAACAUCAUCAAGCUCCUUAUUAAGACCAGCCAAAAAGUCAUAAAUUCGAUCUUUAUCCACCAGUUUUUUGUAUCGAGCACCAUCAUCAAUACACCUCCAUUCACACUCAUUGAAUAGAUCUAAUUCCUGCCAAAGAUUCUUCAGAGAGUUAAAAUAAUGGGUUACAUCCAUAUCACCUUGUUUCAAGUUACGAGCCAUAUUCCUCAAUUCAAACAGCUGUGAUGAAUUUUCCAAAUCCGAGUAAGUUUCUUUGACAGCUUCCCACAGUUCAGCAGCUGUUUGGUAAAAUAAAUAUGUCUGCCCGAUGUUUGGUUCCAUUGAGUUAACCAGUCAUGCCAUAACGAUAGAAUUUUCAGCAUCCCAUAUUUGAAAUGCAGGAUCAUUUUCAUCUGGCCUUUGCUUUUGGCCAAGGAGAUAGCCAAGUUUUCCACGCCCUCGAAUUACCAUUUGAACAGAACGAGACCAUGGGAGAAAGUUCUUUCCGUUGAGUUUGUGGGAUGUAAUUUGAAGUGAUGUAUUUUCAGUAAUUGCAGUGUGAACAAUUGUAGGAGUUGACAGAGAAGGAAUCUGAGAUGUUUCAGCAGAUUCGGAAGAGUCAAUACUCCUACUUGUGCCAGUCAUGGCUGUUUUUACCAUGGUUUCCUUCAACUAAUACCUAGCUCUGAUACCAUGUAACAAAAUAUAGGAAGGAAACAGUAAACACUGCACUUUCAUAUAUACUUUAUUAAUCAAACUACAAGAUUAUAUAUAGGCUUGAAGCUAACAUAGACUAGGAGUCUUAUCUUAGCAAAGUCCUUUAUUCUAGGGAUAAAAACAAAAAAUAAGUAGAUAGAACAUAUCAUGUAAAACAACCACCAGAUAAAGAUAACUCUAUUUUUUCAAAUUCUGCCACAAUUUCUCACUGUAAUUUGAGCGAUCUGAACUGCCUACCGCGUUUGUCAUAAUUUCCCACUAGUCAUUAGUCAUAUUUCUAGAUGGAAUUUCCCAAAACUAUAUGAGAUAGACAAUGUAGCAGUAACAGAACCCACUGUGGAAUUUCCCAAAACUAUAUGACAUAGACAAUGCAGCAGUAACAGAACCCACUCAUACACAGUUAUAUGCUGAUAUUGUUUCUGAUACCAUUGUUAAUCUGAUUUCUUUGGUUUGCUUCUUCUUAUCAUAGCUAAUGGCUUUUCAUAAACAUAAGUGUCAUUAAAUUUUACAUGAUAGGAAAAUCCAUAAUGAAUGAUUUGGUAAAACUCCAUGAUCAUAUAAGCAAUCGUAUUCAGUUAUAGCAAAUUCAAGAUUGGGACUGGGGAUCUAGUAUGUCAAUUCCACAGAAUUAAAGUAAUCCUCUGUCUGUUUCCUGAUUAUCUAAGAUGGCAGAUGUGGUUUAUGGAAUUUUGCUUAGCAAUGUACAUCCUGUCACUGGAGACACGAACCAUGGUAACCAAACAAUUGCACCUGAUGAAGAAACAUUUCUGCAGACUGUCAUAACCCCCAUCUACCAGGUGUUGCAGAAGGUAUUGUUUUGCUGUAUUGCACAUAUUGUCUUUUUCAACACUUGCAGCUUUCUAUGUGGAAAUUGAUUAUCUUUGUUGGAAAAAGGAAGCCAAGAGAAACAAAGGGGGCAAGGCAAGCCAUUCUAGGUGGAGAAACUAUGAUGAUUUAAAUGAGUACUUUUGGUGAGUUUUCUAAUAGUAACUUUCUUUUUCAUACUUCAAUCAGAUAAUUAUUAUCUGAAACUCGUCAAAACCCCAACAAUUGUUUUCAGGUCCAGAAAGUGUUUUAGUCUAAAGUGGCCAAUGGACCCCAAAGCAGAUUUUUUUGUUCAUUCAGACGUGGUAUUGCCUUCACAUGAGGUUCAGUCCUGUCUUAUGCUGUUUUUAUUUUUAUUUUUAUUUUUUUCAAUUUUUAAAUGCUAAGGUAAAUUCGUAGUGUAUUGAUCAUCUUUUACUUACUCAAGAGUAUUGUGUUUCUUAUAGAAGAAGUAUUGUUGCUUAAUGAUUUCCAAGAAUCAUAAAUAUAAAAAUUCAUUUAUUAUCUUUUGAUUCCCUGCGCUAGAGAUAAGUUUGAUCAUUGGUUGAUGAUAUAGUGUCACACUAGGAACCACAUGUCAUAUUGCAUUUGACAAUGUUUUGUUGAUACACACAAAAAUCAUAUGUAAUUAUUAAGUUGAUUGAAAGGUACUCAAAAUGGUUGGUAAAAUAAUAUUUGAAUUAAUAGAAUAUUUCAACCUGCAUUACAAAUCUUCCUUUCUCUCCAGAAUUAUUUUAAAUUGUAACAAAAAGGGGUGAGAAUAAGGAAGCCACUAUCAAGAAAAAGGAUUACAAUUAUCAGAAGAUCAUUUGAUUUUGUUUAUACUGAAAUUAAUGGGUAACGUUGCAAUAUUAUUCUCAAAACUGGCAAGUGAUAGACUGCUGAAGUUUAGCUGUUGGAUAUGACUCAUUUUAAUUUAGACGGGAAGAAAAAUACUUUUAUCACUGGUAAGGCAAUUCAGAUUUUGAGAUUCGAACCAUCAAAUUGAGCAUCAUUAUAUCUGGUAGAUAUACAGAAUCAAAAUGAUAGAAGAUUAACAUUUUCUGCUUCUCUUUCUCCCAAAUGAUUUGAUGUAUUUGUCACCUAGAUUAGUGCAAUGAAGUCCUUGUACCGGUAUUAUGUUUCUCUAUUUAUUAUUAAUUUUUUUAGUAUUUAAGGUUCAUAUGUUUGUUUGCAGAGGCCUAAUCAAGUACCUGCUGAAACGAGAAAGCCCAAGACUAAUUUUGUUGAAGCUCGCACAUUUUGGCACCUCUAUAGGAGUUUUGACCGAAUGUGGAUAUUCUUUAUAAUGGCUUUCCAGGUGGCAUAGCUGUGUGAGAAUGUGAUACUUUAUUAUGCCAUUUUUGGAAAAAUCAAUUGUGUUUCUGAAUUUAUGGCUUUUAGGCUAUGGUAAUUGUUGCGUGGACUUCUGAUGGAUCACCGGCUGCAGUUUUUGAUGAGGAUGUGUUCAGAAGUGUAUUGACCAUUUUCAUUACUCAAGCUUUUCUUAAUUUACUGCAAGGUAUUGUUGAUAUGAGAUUAAAAGUUGGAAUUUGUUUCUCCAUCUCAAUAAUUAGUCCUUGUUGCCUACUUGUAAUCAUACACAGAAUGAAACUUAGCUGUAUUAUAUCUCUGUAUUUAGCAAUUUUGAAGCUUGAUUAUGUUACAGUGCUGCAGUUAUAGUCCUGCAGGUUCAUCCUGUCAUCAACAGCAUGUUGAUGAUUGAUACAAAUUUAGUCAAUCAUUUCUUACUUUCCUACUCGUUUUCCUGCAGCUGCAUUGGAUAUAGUCCUCAGCUUCAAUGCUUGGAGGAGCUUGAAAUGUACCCAAAUACUAAGAUACCUUCUGAAAUUUGCAGUCGCUGCUGUGUGGGCAGUGAUUCUGCCAAUUUGGCAAAGCCAGGGAUCUUUAUAUAAUUUUGCUGUUGCAAUUUAUUUGGUGCCCAAUAUAUUGGCUGCUUUUCUAUUUUUUCUUCCGCAAUUGUCGAGAAUUAUGGAGCAGUCAAACUCACUUAUCGUCAGACUUUUUAUGUGGUGGGGUCAGGUAAGAAUAUCUAGAAUGGUUACAUUUCACCGAUGUUCUUGUUCUUAUUUCUCUUUCUUGCCUUUUGAAUUUUUUUAGUAAACUGUAUAAGUGUUCUUUUUGUAUAUUUUAUUAUCCUGCAGCCGAAACUGUAUGUUGGAAGAGACUUGCAUGAAGGCAUGUUCCAACUUCUGAAGUAAGAUAAGAGGAUGCUUUUGGUUUUCAUUUCUUUUUUGCCUUUAUCUUAUUGGGGUUUGGGAGUUUGGGGGAUUUAAAGUCUAGUGCUAUGAUUUGGAUGUGCCUCUUCUCCAUUAACAGAUAAAUUUUGUGUGCCCAGAUAUACAUUGUUUUGGAUCCUGUUGCUAAUCUGCAAGCUACCAUUCAGCUAUUACGUGGAGGUGAUUUGUUCUUAUAUAUGUUAAUUGAAUUAAUACCUCUACAGUUCAAAUUUAGUGCUGAAUUAAGUGCAAGCACAUCUGUUAGAUGCCUAAAAUCAUUCAUGAAGUUGAUGCAUGUAAAUACUUUUGUCUGCAUGUGCAGAUAAGCUUAUGUAUCUUAAAAUUCAUUUAAAUUAGUAUCUAUAUGUAUUGUUGCCAGUUGUCUCAAGAAAAUUGGGUUGAACAUUUUGGACUCUCCUAACCUCCAUGAUAAUUAAUAUCUAUAUGAUAAUGAUUUUCAUCUGGCAUGGUCGGGCACAGGCAUCCCACGUAAUUCAGUCUUAUGGUUCCUCAUUAUCUGCAUAUGGCCUUUUUUUCCUAGGUGCUCAUUUUGUAUGGGCUUUUAGUUUAAUGCUUCUAUUCAGCGGGCAUAGUGAUUUAUGACGGAUGGUGUCAUCUUAAAUUCUAACCUUUCACCUUGAUCCAUCACUAGUCAUUUAACUUCCCUCUUGACCAUGAAAGGAGCCCAAUCCAAAUUUAUUUUGUUUGAUCCGAUGUCUUUUUACAUAAAGUCUCAUGCUUAUGUAAAGGGAGAGAAUUCUGUCUGUUUGCAGAGUCUUUGAGGGCCCUGCCGCAACCUCACUUUUUGUUUUUAUCCUUCGUAGGUAACUUUGUGCCAUCUUCAUCUAUAUACAUCGGCACAAAGCCAUCGUAUAUCGUUGUGGUGGCUUGUUUUUUCCUCAGUUUGUCAUUGGCUACAAAUCAUAGUGGUUUCUUGAAAUGCUUUUAAGUGCAUUCCACAUUUGGGUCUAUUUCUCUAUACUUGCAGCAUGAUAUUGAGCACUGGUAAACAAGGAUCUGGUCUGUAGUAUUUGCUUCCACCACAGCUUUAUAAAACAACUGGAGUUUGUGAAACGAUGCAAUCUUAGGCCAAUCAAGUGUAAAAGAAUGGAAUAUAUGCAAUAUAAGUUGUUAUAUUUAUAAAGAAUUAAAUACAAACUGUUAAACUUCCUUUAAUUCCUAUCAAUAGCUAUAUGCUUUUAUGCUUUAUUUGUGCUGCAGCUAUAUCUUUUGAUUGGGAAGAACAUGUGAAUUGAUUCUGUGGUGCAUAAAUUUAAAAAUACCAUCUCAAACUCAUGUCAAUCUAAAGCAAUAAUUUACAUAUUUUCUUCAUAGAUAUUGCCACUAAUCAGAUCUUCGAAGUUGAUUAUGAAGUUGCAUGUCGAUAACUAUGAGUGGCAUGAAUUCUUUCCCAAUGGUAAUUAUUCUUCUUUUAUUUUUGGUUAAACUGUUAUAAUUUUACCUUCUAUAUGUGGCUGAAGAAUGUUUUCAUCUCAAAUUGCUGUAGUAACCCAUAAUAUUGGAGUUGUUAUAGCAAUAUGGGCUCCAAUUGUCCUGGUAAGUGGGCUGUAAACGAAUAUUUGGGAACAACAAAUUUUAUGCCUUCAUGUUGUGUUUUGCAUAUUGCAGUUUUAACCUUUAACGUUUUUCAUUUUGACUUGUUUUAUCGGCAUGUAGGUGUAUUUUAUGGAUACUCAAAUAUGGUAUUCCAUAUUUUCUACUCUUUUUGGUGGGAUAAAUGGGGCAUUAAGCCAUUUGGGUGAGGUUAGUGGCCAGUUGUUCUCAUACUAUGGGGAAUCAUGUUAAUAAAAGAUCAAUUGUUCAGUGAGAUAUAUUGAUCUGGAAAUCCUAUAAUUGAUUUAUAUGGAAGAUGUUAUCCAUCAAACUACUUGUUUAUAGUAACACUUACAUCAGUUAGAUAAUCAUGAUUUCCAUUUUUUCAUAUUAAUAAUUGUUGUAUGAACCCAUUUUCAUUUCUUAGAUACAAACGCUUGGGAUGUUGCGUUCUAGAUUUGAAUCUGUGCCAACAGCUUUUUGUCGGUGUCUUGUGCCAUCGUCAGAUGUAGAUACAAAGCGAAGAUACAUGGUACUGCUAAUUCUUGCUGACAUAUUAAUAUUUGCAUCAUUGUCUGGAACUUCAAAUAAUUUCCAUAUGCAGCUACAUUUUCUUCCAAACAUAAAUGCUGGCAAUUAUUCCCCUCUAGGCUGCAUUUUGCUUGCAGAAUAGCAUAGCAUGAGAUUUGUUGACCAGAUAAGGUUAAUAUUCCAGUUCUGUGUUUAGUGCUGGGUGGAAAUAAUACUGGACAUAACAUCUAAUUGUGGGAGAAAAAGUAGAAAAAAAAAUGAUGAUAGGAAUAACAAGGAAACAGGAAAAGUGAAAAUCUAGAUAAAAGAGGGGGAAAAAAAAAAAGAACUUUAUUGGCUGAUGACCUUUAGUGGUUGAUGGAAAGUGACUGACGCUUGCUAGAGACUCUAAUGCUGGCAAAUGGAAGUCAUUGGAAUCCACCUCGCCCUCCCCUUGUUCUUGAUCUCAUAGUGAUGAGGUUAGAAAUCCCACCAAAUAAUACUGGCAUGAUGCUUCCAAAAGAGGAUUGUACUAUUUACAAUCCUAUCCACCCUUCACAUCUGAUGCAGCGGAAUUUUAAAGUUCAAAAUAUUCCGUUGAUUCUAGAGAAUGCCGGAAUAAAAGAACAACUAAACUCACGUUGAUUCAAAAAAAUACCGUGAAUUUAGGGAUUAAGACUCGUUGAUUCCGCAGAAUACCGAGAAUUAACUGUUCAAAUACUCACAAAGAGAUUUGAAAAUUGAAAUAUUAUUAAACUCAAAAUUCUCUGCUUUAAAGGCUACAAGAGGGAGCUAUUUAUAGUAGUAGUAAUUAUCUUAAUUCAUGAAGUAAAACAAAAUCCUAAAUUGAAAGGGAAACAAAAUUCUAAAUUAGAAAGGAAUUAAAAAGUCUUUAAACUUUAGUUAAUAAGGAUACUAAUCCUAGUAUAAUAUGGAUUCCUACUCUUCAUCAUUCCCCCCAGGGUGGAGAGAAUUCGCCCUCGAAUUCGGAGUGUCAACAACCACAUCUUCAUCAUGAUCACCUCUAUAAGGAAUAAGAUGCUUGACAUUAAAUACAUCGGCGGUGCGGAUAUGACUAGGAAGUUUUAACCUGUAGGCAUUAGGAUUUAUCUUCUCUAUAAUCUCCAAAGGGCCGAUUUUCCUAGCAGAAAGCUUGUUGUACUCACCAGCUGAGAAUCUAUCUUUAGUUAGGACAGCCCAAACAAGAUCUCCCACUUGAAAUUCCAAAGCUUGACGUUUUUUGUCUGCCACAAUUUUAUCACCAUGUUCUUCAACAGAUUGAGCGAUACCACUACUAUCAAAAGUUGGCUCUACAGUGAACUCUUCAGUGUCUUCCUCCUGAUAGUCUUCGCUUUCCUCUGUGCCUACGAAUAAGCCUUUACCAUACUUUCCUCCCUUUUUACAUUCUGUCAUUCGGUGCUCAUUUUCUCCGCAAUUAAAACAGCGUAAUCCCGAACCCGAGGAUUGAGUUUUGCUGCUUUGACCGAUUUCACUAGGUUUACUAGUUUUAUUUGGAGGAUUUGGAGGAGUGAAAUUACGAAAUUGGGAAGUUGGGUUUGAAUUAUCACGAACAACACUUCGAGCACCCCGAAAACUUGAGUCAUUAGUACGUCGACUAAAUUGCUUCUCCAACUGCAAGGCUUGUUGGUGUGCCUCUGAAACAGAGUAUGGGUCAAGUAAAUUUAAUUGGUCUUGAAAUUGAGAUCGUAGGCCUCCAAUGUAGCGGAAAUUCUGUAGCUGUUGGUAUAACAGUUUGGCGUAAUUAUGAGGCAAGAAUGCUCCACGCAAGUGUUUCUUGAACUUUUCCCAAGAAUCAAUCUUCUUUUUGCCUUGCCUAAUCCUUGUGAGCUUAGUUUGUUGCUACCAAGCUGCUGCUCUUCCACGAAAUCGAGUUGCGGCAAGCGAAACUAGUUUAUUUUCAGGAACUUCUUUGUAUUCGAAAACUUCCUCAAUAGCGUUAAUCCAAUCCAAUAAUUCUUUAGGUCGACCACUUCCUUGAAAUUCGGGAAUAUCAAUUCUCAACCCAGAUUCCCAUCUUCUGUCAUCAGUAGACUCAGUUCUAGGUCGACGCCUAGAGAAUGGGUUAGCAAAGCUUCCACUUGAUUUGUCUUCACGUUUUGGAGUACGAUGGCGUUCGUCAAGUAACUCUGCCAUUCGUGCCAUUUGUGCAGCUAACAUAUCAAUUCUGGCUGUCAUACUAGCCAAUGCUUCAUCUUUAGAAACAUCUUCUUGAUUGUAAGUUGCAGUAUGAGCAUCACGAGCUUUUCUUGGAGACAUUUUUCAAAUUCGGGUUUAAAAAGGUAGUGGGACUAAACUGAAAGUAAAUAAAAAUUUUAGGCCGAAACUGUAAUUAAGCAAAAGUUUUAGAUUUCCGAUGACGAUGGUCGGAAAUCGAGUAAGGAUGGGUGGAUCUGAAAGAUUUUGGGUUGGUAAGUAUGAUGGUGGUGGUGGUUUGUCCGAAAAAAGUGGUGUUUUGGCCGGAAAUUGUAGAUAAAGCUGACGAUUUUGGAGGGCUUCAGUUUCCGGUGGUUUGAACGUUUGGUGGUAGAUGGAGUUAGAUUGGUGAUACCAGGUUUUGGCUCUGAUACCAAACUGAUGCAGCGGAAGUUUAAAGUUCAAAAUAUUCCGUUGAUUCUAGAGAAUGCCGGAAUAAAAGAACAACUCAACUCACAUUGAUUCAAAAGAAUACCGUGAAUUUAGGGAUUAAGACUCGUUGAUUUCGCAGAAUACCGAGAAUUAACUGUUCAAAUACUCACAAAGAGAUUUGAAAAUUGAAAUAUUAUUAAACUCAAAAUUCUCUGCUUUAAAGGCUACAAGAGGGAGCUAUUUAUAGUAGUAGUAAUUAUCCUAAUUCAUGAAGUAAAACAAAAUCCUAAAUUGAAAGGGAAACAAAAUUCUAAAUUAGAAAGGAAUUAAAGUCUUUAAACUUUAGUUAAUAAGGAAACUAAUCCUAGUAUAAUAUGGAUUCCUACUCUUCAUCAACAUCAUAAGUGAAUGUGAUGUAGGACAAUUGAAGAAAGAAAGAGAGAAAAGAGAAAGGGAUGAGAAAUCAGAAUUGGGAGGUAGUAGGAAGUAAAUGCAUUAUGCUUUAUUAUUCAGUGUAUUUUUUUUUUAAAUAAUUAUUAACUCAUACACACAUUGAAGCUCAAACCCAGGCCCCAAGCCCUAGGAAAGCCGCUCCUUACCACUAGAGCUAGACCUUAGCUUCACAUUUAAAAGUUACACAAGCUUAUUCAUAGGCAUAGGCAUGAAUAAGAAAAAGAUAAAACCCUAAGAUAGUCCAAGAAAAUAAUGGAAAUCCCAUAAGUACAUAUCUCUAACAGAACCUCCAUCAGUAUUAGUUUCAGUAUUUUUAAUCAAAUUGUCCCCAUACCAAUUUAGAUCUUUUCAUCUUUCGUGUCUUUGGCUAAAGAAAUUAUUAACUGUGGCAGGAUGAGUCUACGGAACGAAGGAAUAUUGCAAAUUUUUCUCAUGUGUGGAAUAAAUUCAUAGAAUCUAUGCGGGAGGAGGAUCUGAUCAGCAAUGAGUUAGGACUGCAUCCUUGUUUAAAAAGCUUGUCUUAUAUCGGAGACAUCAUUUAUGAUUUUUUAAUUUUUUCUUUGAUUUAUAAUUGUUUAGGGAUAGAGACUUGUUGCUGGUGCCAUAUUCUUCAAAUGAUGUCUCUGUUACCCAGUGGCCACCUUUUCUGCUUGCUAGCAAGGUAAACUUUUUGAGUGGUUUCUCAUGUUAAUUUAUGCUAUGCUCAAUUUCUAACUUACUUUCUUAUGUCGGAUGUAUAACAGAUUCAUAUUGCAUUAGACAUGGCAAAGGAUUUUAAAGAGAAAGAGGACACUGACUUAUUUAGGAAGAUAAAGAAUGAUGGUUAUAUGCAUUCAGCAGUCAUUGAAUGUUAUGAGACGCUCCGGGAAAUAAUUUAUGGUCUUCUGGAAGAUGAAACUGAUAGGAAGUAAGAGUAAAUUUCCAAUUAUUUCCAAUAUUUCCAUGGAUAAACAGAAGGCUCCUGAUAUUGGAAAUCUCAUUGUUUGUUUCCUUUUUUCUGUUAUGGAGCAGUGUUGUGAAGCAGAUUUGUUAUAACGUAGACAUUAGCAUUCAGCAACACAGGUUCUUGAAUGAAUUUCGCAUGGCUGGGAUGCCUUCACUCUGUGAAAAGUUGGAGAAGUUUGUAAAACUCUUGGUAAUAUUUUUCCUUUAUCUUUUCCUUUUUUACCUUUUUUCUCCUAUUGCUGAGUGCUUCAGCAAUGAAUUUGUAGAUUUAAUUUCAGUUCUGAGUACUCAAGUUGGUUGAUGGGUUGGGUGACAGCUAUCUAAGUAUGAAGAUGUAGACGUAUACAAGUCUCAGAUAAUUAAUUUCCUCCAAGAUAUUAUGAAAAUCAUCCUUCAGGACAUUAUGGUUAACGGCUUUGAGUAAGUGCAAGUGCUGAUGAAUUCAAACUUUGGAUGUAAAACCUAGUUGUACUUAUAUGAUUGAUGAACCUUGAUGAAUUGUAUAUGAUAUGGGUUUCCACUUCUUCCCAUAGAAUCCUUGAAAGAUUUCACACGCAAAUUCAGAAUAAUGAUAAAGAGGAGCAGAUAUUUGAAAAGCUAAAUAUCACCAUUAUGGAGAAUAAAUCUUGGAGGGAAAAGGUACUCUUAUUAGUCAUUUGUUUGUUUCAGUUAUCACUUGAAAAUAUUAUGUUGGGUUCUAGUAUUCUUAUUACAUUCCUCAUUUUCUAUAGGUGGUUAGGCUCCAUUUUCUCUUGACUGUCAAAGAAUCUGCCGUAAAUGUGCCAACGAAUUUGGAUGCACGCCGUCGUAUAACUUUCUUUGCAAAUUCCUUAUUUAUGAAGAUGCCAAGUGCUCCAAAAGUUCGUGACAUGAUCUCCUUUAGGUCAGUCAUUGUUGAACACUUAUUUACUGAAAUAUUGAAGCUUAUCUCACUAGAAAGGAAAAUCCUCUGUAUUAUUUUUAGGGAGCCCCUAUGUUACAAUUAAUGUAACAUACACACUCAACAACAACCACACAAAUAAUAGGCCCACACAAUUUGUGUGGUUGUUGUUGAGUGUGUAUGUUACAUUAAUUGUAACAUAGGGGCUCCCUAAAAAUAAUACAGAGGAUUUUCCUUUCUAGUGAGAUAAGCUUCAAUAUUUCAGUAAAUAAGUGUUCAACAAUGACUGACCUAAAGGAGAUCAUGUCACGAACUUUUGGAGCACUUGGCAUCUUCAUAAAUUAUGUUACAUUAAUUGUAACAUAGCAUUUGCCUUAUUUUUAUGAUGCUGUUAUACUGAACAAUCUGUUUGAGAACCAUCAGUGCUGUAAUUAGAGUGGCAGUAAAGGGUUGAAAGUUCGCGUGUUUCACACGGUUGCAUUAGCAAUUUGCUUCCCCUUUUGGUCACUUAACACUAUUGUCCAUAUCUCUUAUGAAUGUGUUGCCUCUUUCUCUUUCAAUUAUCAUCAAGGAGUCAGAAAUGUGGAUGUUUAUGUUCGUUCUCUCUCUCUCUCUUUCUCUCUCGCUUUUCUUUCUUCUUUUUUUUCCCAAUUUGUUUAAGAGCUGUAUAUGUUCUAUUUUAACAUAGUUUCUUUUUUGAUCCAUGAUAUAGUGUUUUGACACCAUAUUAUAGAGAAGAUGUUCUUUACUCUGUUGAUGAACUUAAUAACGAAAAUGAGGAUGGAAUAUCAACUUUGUUUUACCUACAGAAAAUAUAUCCUGGUGAGUUUUAGAUCCACUGCUGCAAUAUGCAUUGUUGUUGUUUUGAUUGGUAAAAACUUACUGAACAGCUAUGUUUGUCUGGGAAUUAGAUGAAUGGAAGAAUUUGCAAAAGCGCAUAAAUGACCCUAAAUUUAAUUAUUCUGAUGCUGACAAGGAGGAGGCUACUUGUCAUUGGGCAUCUUACAGAGGGCAGACACUUUCUAGAACAGGUCCAUAUGAAAACUUUGAAGUUUAUCUUGUAGUAGAAUGAUUUAUAUAGCUAUUUCAUUAAAUAUAUCUAUAUGUUUCUGCCAGUGAGAGGGAUGAUGUACUACAAGCAGGCUCUUGAACUGCAAUGCUUUCUGGAAUCUGCAGGAGACAAUGGUUUAUGCUUUCUGUCAGAGAAUAAAUUACAAUUCCAAAUUGCCAUCUUCCAUAUUUCUAUUUCAGUAUUGUUCAAAGUUGAUACCAUAGCAUGUUAAAUAAACUGUUAAGAAACUAUUUAUGCAGCAAUUUUUGGUGGCUAUCGGAUCAUGGAAUCAAGUCAGGAAGAUGAAAGGGCUUCUGCGCAAGCUCUGGUCAAUAUGAAGUUUACCUAUGUUGCUUCUUGUCAGAUCUAUGGUGCUCAGAAAAAAUCUGAUGAUUGGAGAGAUCGAAGUUGUUACAAGAACAUUCUACAUCUCAUGAUAAAGUAAGUUUAAUUUGUUGUCUGAUGUACUACACUAUCUCCAUGUGAUUUAGUUUUCAAAUUACAAUCUUUGAAUUAUGUAAACACUGUACAGGUAUCCAUCCCUGCGUGUUGCUUACCUGGAUGAAAGGGAGGAAAUUGUGAAUGGAAAAUCUCAGAAAUUUCAUUACUCCGUGCUUUUGAAGGGAGGUGAUAAGUAUGAUGAGGUAUGAAUAGUAAUCAGUAGUUUGAUGUAGAAUUCACAUGCUUGAAGACGUAUUUUCUAAAUGGCUAAUGUUAGAUAGGUACUUACAGUGGUUAGUAGUUAGUUCAACUUGUAAGAUAUGUUUGAAUGAUGCAAGACAUUUAGAGUGAACCCUAUUCUGAUCGCAGGGAGAAGGGAUUUGGACUGCUUUUGUGAAAUAUUUAGUAUAAAAUAUGAACUUUCUUUAUUAAAGGAGAAAAAGAUGGAUGCUUUCAGUUAGUUGUUUAAUCUUAUAACUUCAAUCAUUGGCAUUGUCCAUUUACUUUUAAGAGACUUAAUUUUUCAAAACCAUCUAGUUAAGUAAUUUAUUCAUUAGUAACAAGGUAUAAAAUCAUGUUCCUGAUUCUUUAUGUGUAGUUGGACACUAGGAAAAACUUUAGUUGGUAACUUUCUUCUGUUAAGAUUGUUGUUAGUUUUGUUUGUAGGUGCCUCUCUUGUGUCUUAUGUGUGACCUAUAUUAUUGGAUGAGUUACAUUAGUUUUAGGGUUUGCUGACCAUUUCUAUGUGGCCUUAUAUUCAGUUGUGAGUCAGACUUAUGAUUGCUGAAUAAAGAUGAUGUUUUCCCUCUCAAUUUCCUCGGUUUAUUCUCCUCUUUUCUUUUCUCUCUAUUGGUUCUACACCAAUUAUUCUUCUAUCUUAUCAUAUCUUUAGUUUGGUGUUGCAUUGUCAAUACAAUUACUCUAUUUCCACCAAGAUAUAGCAUUUUAACUUCAUGAUGUGAAAUGCAAUUGUUCCAUUAUAAAAUGUUAGCAUACCAAAAUGUUGGUUUGCUAGAUUCUCCUUUCAUCAUCCAGUUAUUGAGAAUUUUUUUUUUUUUUAAAAAAAAAAAAAGAGAAGUGAAAAAAAGAGAGAAUCCUCAAUAAGCAAGGUUAAAUUGAGUGGAGCAUGCAGAGGGGAAAUACAGUUAGCGCCCUUUUCCGUACCAGUACAAAUAGAGUGUUCCGAUAGCCAACCCAAAUUGUGAGUAAGAGUUUUUUUGUCAUAAGGUUGAGCUUUAGCAUAAAGUUGAGUUAAGUCUACUUCCUAACGACAUUUGCUUUGAAUUUCCACCUACUUUAGUGAUACUCAUGCAUGCACUGUUCCCAAGGGGACAACACAGUUGGUUUGUCCUCUUGGAGUGGAAGCAAAAGGUCAAGGGAUCGCAACCCCCCUUGCACUCCGGCCUUGGCAGGAGGAUGGAGUGGAGCGCAUGGUAACUGAAAAAUACACUAACACAUUGAAUGAGCAUGUCCUUCUGCCUAACUAUAGUUCAAGAUCAUGGGCUUUUUUAUGUCAUUCAGAUAAAGAACUACAAAGAAAUGUCAACGACAAUGCUUGUUUGCGAGGAGUUCUUUCCCAUCUCUUGUUAGAAAUUGCUUUUAAUAUCCCUGGAUUAUUGUCUGUAUUGCUAGGAAAUAUAUCGGAUCAAGCUUCCAGGACCUCCAACAGUUAUUGGUGAAGGAAGACCUGAGAAUCAAAACCACGCCAUUAUCUUUACUCGUGGAGAAGCGUUGCAGACCAUAGACAUGAAUCAGGUAACUUUCGUUCUCCUUCUGCCUUCUUUUAAGAUAUAGUAACAAGUGGUUCAAUGUGUGUUCCCGUGCUUGUCUCUUUUCCCAGGACAAUUACUUUGAGGAGGCUUUCAAAAUGAGAAAUGUAUUGGAGGAAUUCCUGAAGUCUACUUCUGGGCAGAGAGAACCUACAAUAUUGGGUCUGAGGGAGCAUAUUUUUACCGGAAGGUCAGCCUAACAACACCCAUUUUAUCUUGAUGAAUUUGGGAAAAAGUGUUGUUUACACAAUCAGCAAGUGUAUUUAUAUAUGCUACUUUCUCCCGUCUAUGUUAUACAGUGUGUCAUCACUUGCAUGGUUCAUAUCCAACCAAGAGACUAGCUUUGUCACUAUUUCCCAACGAAUUUUAGUAAAUCCUUUGAGGUAAGCCUUAAUCUAUUUUAAAUCACUGCUUAAUUGUUCUUGCAUUUAAUCCUUUUAAUCGUUACAUUGGACUUCAUCCUUAUGGAACUGGGAUUUUGUGUUUUAUGUGCAAACAUUUUUUUCCUUUUACCUCAGUAUGGCCACAAAAGGUGGGUGGUAGGUUUGAAUCAACAUUUACUGGUAUGAAGUGUAUUUGAAUGUAUGAUACUCCAAAAUUUGUUUAUAUUCAGAGCUUGUAAGUUAAUCUGAUAGUUGUGCCAACACAUGUUUGUGUUUGAAACCUCUUGUACUAUUAUCUCUGUUGUCCCAUUCUAUUGUUAGACACAAAUGUAUCUGCAUUGUCCAGUUACACAGUUGUUUAACUUAGCCACUUGUCUUCUAACCUCGGUCUAGUUUCCUGAUGUCCAACUACAUGCUGGAAAACACUUUAGCCUAUGGAAACCCUAAAAUAUGAUUUUCCCAUCCCAAACCAUCAAGUAGCAGAAAAAGUUUCCAUCCUAAUUAUCUUCCAGGUACACAUUAACAAAGUUCUAUGAUGUUGGCUGCUUCCCACAUCAUUAGUUCCAAACACAUGAAUAGCACUGCAAAAUGUGAAGCCAAAUCAAAAUUAACACUCAAAACACUACAGCUACUGGUAACACCAACGGGUUUAGUUGACUGGUAAAAGACCCUUGGAUUCAACCAAGAAAUCAGGGGUUCAAAGCCCAUUGGGGCCGCCUUACAUUGGGUAUUUGUUUCAUUGUUCUUCUAUAUAUCCCAAUAUCUCUCGACCUUUUGUGUUCACUGAAUUCUAAAUUGGGAAUAUGCUGCCAGACACUACAAGCUCGAUAGCUUUGUUAAUGGGGUCAACCUGCAUUGGAUAGAAACGUAAUCCUGAAAUUAAGUUCUUAUGCAUCCAAGGGGAAAAAGGAAAGACUCGUGGGCUGUAAACAUCCCAGAUAGCUGACCCCAAGGGGUUUUGGACUGAAUCCAAAUGUACCGCUCCAUCCAACCUCUUGGGGUUCUCUUUUACAAAUAAGCUAUGUUGCAACUGUAGAUCAGUUAAAAGUUUAUGGAUGUUAGGCAAAAAAGCAAAGUCGUGGGAAGAAUAAUUUGCGGAAAGCUUAUUUCUGUCUUUCUACUAUUGGAGGUCCUUUUAAAUGUUUCAUAUUAACUUUGUAGGGUACGUUUUUACUAUGGUCAUCCUGAUAUAUUUGACCGAAUCUUCCACAUAACAAGGGGUGGCAUUGGAAAGGCUUCAAGGGUGAUUAACUACGGUGCGGAUAUAUAUGCAGGUAAUAUUUAGUUCUUCAGAAUAUAUCAACUUAGAAAUCUAUUCUGAUGGCUAAUUGUGUUGAAAUCUUCAGGGAUGAAUUCAACUCUCCGUGGAGGAUACAUAACACAUCACGAAUAUAUUCAAGUAGGCAAGGGGCGUGACAUGGGUAUGAAUCAAUUAUCAUUAUCUGAGGCAAGGGUUGCAGGUGUUAAUGGAGAGCAGACAUUUAGUCGUGAUGUUUACCGGCUCGGGCACUGUUUUGACUUCUUUAGAAUGCUUUCAUUCUACUUUACAACAGUUGGAUUCUACCUUAGUAGCAUGGUAUGUUAACCAAACUAGUCUCAUUGUUUAAAUGUUUCUUAGGAGCUCCAAUAGAUUUAUAGUUCACGCCUUCGUGAUACCUAUUACUUGUUGAGUUUCUGCACCAAUCAACAUUGUACAAUGAUAGUCUCUUGAAACAAUUUUUUUUCUUUUCAUAUAAAAUUUAUGAUUUAAAUCAAUUCAAUAUAUGUAUUGUCACUUAUCCAAGGCUGUCUUUUUCAGGUAAUUGUGCUAACUGUGUAUGUGUUCUUGUAUGGACGUUUAUACUUGGUUAUGAGUGGAUUAGAAAGAGAGAUUCUUGAGAAUCCAGGCAUGCAUCAAAGCAUGGCCCUCGAAGAGGCUUUGGCUACACAGUCUGUCUUUCAGCUUGGUUUGUUAUUGGUUCUUCCAAUGGUUAUGGAAAUUGGCCUCGAAAAAGGGUUUUGCAGUGCUCUCUGUGAUUUUAUCAUCAUGCAGCUGCAGCUGGCUUCUGUAUUCUUCGCAUUUCAGCUCGGAACAAAAGUGCAUUAUUUUGGCAAAACAAUCUUACAUGGAAGCUGUAAAUAUCGAGCUACUGGUCGAGGAUUUGUUGUUUAUCAUGCAAAGUUUUCUGAGAACUACAGGCAGUACUCCCGAAGUCACUUUGUGAAAGGACUGGAGCUGGUUAUACUAUUGGUCUUGUAUGAAGUAUAUUGGCAUUCGUAUCGCAGUUCAAAUAAAUUUUACUUGUUUAUCACACUCUCUAUGUGGUUCCUGGUUGGCUCCUGGUUGUUUGCUCCUUUUGUGUUCAAUCCAUCUGGUUUUGACUGGCAAAAAACAGUAGAUGAUUGGACGGAUUGGAAGAGGUGGAUGGGAAAUCGUGGUGGUAUUGGCACCCUGCCCUAUAGAAGUUGGGAAUCAUGGUGGGAUGAAGAACAAGAACACCUCAAAUUCUCAAAUAUAAGGGGAAGGAUUCUUGAGAUUAUCCUUGUUUUUCGCUUCUUCAUUUACCAGUAUGGAAUUGUCUACCACCUUGAUAUAGCUCAUCGUGGCAAGAAUACUGUGGUAUAGUUCAUUACUGUCUGAUAAUAAAUUUUGCUUAUUGGUCUGCAAAUUCUUUUGUUAUGGCAUAUAUUUGCUAUAUUUAUCAUAUUCUCCAAUUUUUUUUUUAAGGUGUAUGGACUCUCUUGGCUAGUUCUAGUAACCACCCUUCUAGUUCUGAAGGUAUGGAAACGAAAUUCGCUUGUACUGAGGGGAUGAACCUUUACCCCACAUAUUGUGGAGGAAGUAUGCAUAUUAUUAAGUAGUGUUCUUGUGUUUUUGUUUUUUCUGUUCUUGUUAGAUGGUAUCAAUGGGCGGACGAAGAUCUGGUGCCGAGUUUCAGCUCAUGUUCAGGAUUAAAGCACUUGUUUUCCUUGGCUUCAUGUCAGUCAUGACCGUCUUAUUUGUAGUAUGCAGUCUCACCAUAUCAGAUUUAUUUGCCUGCAUGCUUGCUUUUCUGCCUACUGGGUGGGCCAUUUUACUGGUAAGUUUGAACUUCAACUACUUUUGGUAGUACACAGUAUAAGCCAAAUCUAUAAUCUGGGUUACUUUUUCAAUGUAUUCCCUUUUUCAGUAUGUUCCAAAUUGAUCAUCAUAUUGCGAUCCUAAGUGCAUGCAAUAAAACCUACUCAUGUGAAUUACUGCAUUGUACUUGAUGAAAUGCUUUUUUUUGUCUCCUCUUAGCUUAACUUUAUUCACUAUCCAACUUCGCUGCCUAGUGUUUACUUUUAUACCUAAAAAACUCACUCUCACAAUCCUAAAAUCUUUCUUCUUUUCUAGAAAAACUGCAUGAUUGUUAUUUUUCAUCACACACUAUCCAAUUAACUACAGUCCUUUAAUACAUAUAACUAUGAACUACACUGCUUGCUAAAUCAUAUUUCAUUUUGCUUUGUCGUUUCCAGAUUGGGCAAGUUUGCAGGCCAUUGUUCAAGGCAAUAGGGCUCUGGGAUUCAGUAAAGGAGCUGGCGAGAGCGUAUGAGUACAUAAUGGGAUUGCUACUCUUUGCACCCAUAGCCAUUUUAUCGUGGUUCCCGUUUGUAUCCAAGUUCCAAACACGCCUGCUCUUCAAUCAAGCAUUCAGCAGAGGUCUCCGGAUUUCUAUGAUUCUCCUCAGGAGAAAGGACAGGACCAAGACAUUUUCUGGAAAAUCUACAUGAUUGUUAUUUUUCAUCACACUCGCUAAAUUAAAGAAAUCAAUUAGGAUGGGACUACAGAUAACUGAUGAACAGUGCUUGCUAAAUCAUAUUUCAUUUUGGUUUGUCCUUACAAGUUUGGGCAAGUUUGCAGGCCAUUGUUUAAGGCAAUAGGAUUUUGGGAUUCAACAAAGGAGCUAGGCAGACCACGAGUACCUAAUGAGAUUGCCAGUCUUCGCGCCCAUAGCCAUUUUCUCGUGGCUUCCAUUCGCAUCUGAGUUCCAAACACGCCUGCUCUUCAAUCAAGCAUUCAGCAGAGGUCUCCAGAUUUCUAUGAUUGUCACCAGGAGAAAAGACUGAGACAGCAACAAAUUGAAGUUCAUAGUAUCACACAUUUUAAUCCCUUUAUUUAAUGUUGUUUUGUAGUCAUCAAGUUGAAGUAAUUAAGGUGUUGUUUGGUAUUGAGGUGUUGUAACUACAAUUAUUGUGAAAAAAACUGUAAUUAUAAAAUAAAAAUAAAUAGUAUGUAGUAAAUAUGAUUUUUAAUAAUAAUUUUGAUAAAAAUAUUAAAAAUAUUAUUUCAUCAUACAAGUUGUGGAUUAAAUUAACUUAAUUUUUAAAUUACAAUAAUUAGUAUUUAUUGAAUAUUUCAGUGCUAUAACUAGAAAGUGAUAAGCUGCUCCACUUAAAUACCAAACUAAACAUAACCCACCUUUAGAAAAUCCAACUUUGUUGAUUUUUUCUUUUUUUCAUAUGUAUUUAAAGAAAAUUAGAAGCUGCUUUUUUAUCACCAAUGAUUCUUAAAUUGUACCUAUCAGGAUUGAAUAUUGAUUUGUAAAUGACCAUCUUGGUUUCAUGUGUGCUAAAUUUUCUAGCCGUUUGCAUCACGUCACGCGUCUAAAAAACAAGAAAAAAAAGCGAAAGUUAAAAGAACUUUAAAAUUAAGGGAGAAUUUUGAAAUAGAUGGCCCAGUUGGUGUAAAGAAACUUAUGUGUCACAAUUAAAGAGGUUCGGCGAAAACAGUUAGGAAAUUGGAGUGGUCCCACCCAGUUACCCACCGUGCAUAUACUUCAAAAUCGUAUACAGUUUAGUUUCUCAGUUGGGUGUGUUGUGUUCAUGUUUGGCUGUGUUGUGAAAUUAACCCUUUAAUCACUGAAUUAAUCACAUCCUAAGGUCUAACUCAAACUCAAAGACUCAAGAAUUAAACCUUAGCUUAUCGAAACAACUCACAGAUCAAAGAACACAGCUCAAACAAAUCAAGGACACACAAGAACUUAAGUAGUUCAACACCUUUGAGAGUGCCUACAUCCACUAGAGAAAACAACACAGGGAGCAACUUUAUUAAGCUUCAAGGUUACAAAGUUGAUAACUCGCAAUACAGAGAACACUCACAAAGCUUAACUCUCACUAUGGCUGCCUUAUCAAUCUCACCUCGAUAUCACAAGAUUACACCAGAACCAGCUUGUAUAUAUAUCUGUUAUACAGGCAUAACAGAUCCAGAAAUUUCCCUCCAAAUUCAACAGCCUUAACCAACUUGAUCACGAGCUCCUCACGCACCACUUUAAAGCCUUCCCUAAACGACUGCUAGCUAUGUCGUUUAAGCUUAUAGCAGGAGUGUGUUAAUCACGUGAGGUUUAAUGGUUUUGUACGACAUUAUCAAGUUGUCAGUUCUGGAAUCUUGUUCAACUGAAAUGACAUGUCACUCAUCUUCACAACUUACAGAGGUCUCCAGAUUUCUAUGAUUGUCACCAGGAGAAAAGACUGAGACAGCAACAAAUUGAAGUUCAUAGUAUCACACAUUUUAAUCCCUUUAUUUAAUGUUGUUUUGUAGUCAUCAAGUUGAAGUAAUUAAGGUGUUGUUUGGUAUUGAGGUGUUGUAACUACAAUUAUUGUGAAAAAAACUGUAAUUAUAAAAUAAAAAUAAAUAGUAUGUAGUAAAUAUGAUUUUUAAUAAUAAUUUUGAUAAAAAUAUUAAAAAUAUUAUUUCAUCAUACAAGUUGUGGAUUAAAUUAACUUAAUUUUUAAAUUACAAUAAUUAGUAUUUAUUGAAUAUUUCAGUGCUAUAACUAGAAAGUGAUAAGCUGCUCCACUUAAAUACCAAACUAAACAUAACCCACCUUUAGAAAAUCCAACUUUGUUGAUUUUUUCUUUUUUUCAUAUGUAUUUAAAGAAAAUUAGAAGCUGCUUUUUUAUCACCAAUGAUUCUUAAAUUGUACCUAUCAGGAUUGAAUAUUGAUUUGUAAAUGACCAUCUUGGUUUCAUGUGUGCUAAAUUUUCUAGCCGUUUGCAUCACGUCACGCGUCUAAAAAACAAGAAAAAAAAGCGAAAGUUAAAAGAACUUUAAAAUUAAGGGAGAAUUUUGAAAUAGAUGGCCCAGUUGGUGUAAAGAAACUUAUGUGUCACAAUUAAAGAGGUUCGGCGAAAACAGUUAGGAAAUUGGAGUGGUCCCACCCAGUUACCCACCGUGCAUAUACUUCAAAAUCGUAUACAGUUUAGUUUCUCAGUUGGGUGUGUUGUGUUCAUGUUUGGCUGUGUUGUGAAAUUAACCCUUUAAUCACUGAAUUAAUCACAUCCUAAGGUCUAACUCAAACUCAAAGACUCAAGAAUUAAACCUUAGCUUAUCGAAACAACUCACAGAUCAAAGAACACAGCUCAAACAAAUCAAGGACACACAAGAACUUAAGUAGUUCAACACCUUUGAGAGUGCCUACAUCCACUAGAGAAAACAACACAGGGAGCAACUUUAUUAAGCUUCAAGGUUACAAAGUUGAUAACUCGCAAUACAGAGAACACUCACAAAGCUUAACUCUCACUAUGGCUGCCUUAUCAAUCUCACCUCGAUAUCACAAGAUUACACCAGAACCAGCUUGUAUAUAUAUCUGUUAUACAGGCAUAACAGAUCCAGAAAUUUCCCUCCAAAUUCAACAGCCUUAACCAACUUGAUCACGAGCUCCUCACGCACCACUUUAAAGCCUUCCCUAAACGACUGCUAGCUAUGUCGUUUAAGCUUAUAGCAGGAGUGUGUUAAUCACGUGAGGUUUAAUGGUUUUGUACGACAUUAUCAAGUUGUCAGUUCUGGAAUCUUGUUCAACUGAAAUGACAUGUCACUCAUCUUCACAACUUAAAAACGACAAGUUGUUCUGACGAGUUUGAGUUCAUUUCAACAAUCUCCACCUUGAACUCAACACUCAUAGCUCCCUCUUUUCACAUUGUCUUCUCCCCAUCUGCAGCUUCUUAAAACCUACAGAUACCUGCUAAGUUCAUGCAAAGGAUGAACUUGGCACUAGGCACAACCUUGGUUAACAUGUCAGCUGGAUUUUCUUCAGUAUGAAUCUUCAGCAACUUUAUAGCUCCCCUUGACACCUCAAGUCUCACAAAAUGCAAUUUAACAUCUAUAUGUUUUGUUUUCUCGUAAUGAGAUUGAUUCUUGUUAAGAUGUAUAGCACUCUGACUGUCACUGUAUACCGUUACAGAUUCUCGCUUAGCUCCCAACUUAGAUGUCAUGCCUUUCAGCCAAAUUGCUUCUUUGAAAGCUUCAGCUGCUGCAGUAUACUCAGCCUCUGUAGUGGACAAAGCCAUUACAUUAUGUAAUGUUGCUUUCCAGCUAACUAUGCAGCCUCCCAAAGUAAACAAAUACCUUAUUUGUGACCUUCUUUUAUCAAGAUCACCAGCAAAGUCAGCAUCUACAUAACCAAUUAAUGUGUGUCCAUUCUUACCUUCUCCACCAUAGACCAAACCAACCUCCAGAGUUCCCUUCAGAUACCUCAUAAUCCACUGAACAGCUCUCCAGUGUUCAUAUCCUGGAUUUGCCAUAAACCUGCUCACCAAACUCACAGCAUAUGAGAUAUCAGGUCUGGUGAGUACCAUGGCAUACAUGAGGCUACCUACUGCACUUGAGUAGGGUAUACAAGCCAUUUUUUAUUGUUCUGCCUCAGUUUGAGGACACUGGGCAGCAGACAACUUGAAGUGGCUUGCCAAUGGUGUCUGAACUUGCUUAGCAUCAUUCAUUCCAAACCUCACCAGAACCUUCUUAAUGUAGCUUUGUUGAGUUAAGAACAAAAAUUUCUUGCUCAUGUUCCUGAUGAUAUCCAUCCCCAUAAUUCUCUUAGCUUCUUCAAGUUACUUCAUUUCAAAUUCCCUGCUUAAAAGUUUCUUUAAAUGAUUGAUCUCUUCCUUGUCAUGGCAUGCGAUCAGCAUGUCAUCUACAUACAGCAGAAGAUAUAUCAUUCCCCUUCCACUUGUCUCUUUGAAGUACACACAGCAAUCAUAGUUGCACAUGUUGAAGGCAUGUGUUAUCAUGAAGUUGUCAAACUUCAGAUACCAUUGCCUAGGUGAUUGUUUUAACCCAUAUAGAGACUUUUUAAGUAAGCAGACACAAUCUUCUUUACCAGAUGUCACAUACCCUUUAGGCUGUUGUAUUACAAUUUCCUCUUGUAAUUCACCAUGCAGGAAGGUUGUUUUUACAUCCAUCUGCUCAAGAUGCAUAUCCUGAACAGCCACAAGUGCAAGAAUAAUUCUGAUGGAAGCAUGUCUCACUACAGGGGAAAAUACUUUAGUGAAGUCAAUUCCCUCCUUUUGUGUGAAGCCCCUUGCCACCAAUCUGGCCUUAAAUCUUCUAAGUUCAGCACUAGGUAUCUCAUCUUUAAUCUUGAAGAUCCAUUUACAGCUUACUGUCUUCCUCUUAGCUGGUUUUUCAAUCAAUUCCCAGGUCUUGUUUUUCAUCAGGGAUGCCAUCUCUUCAUCCAUUGCCCUCUUCCAUUCCAGCUUGUUUUUACCUGUGAUAGCUUCCUGAUAAGUUCUAGGUUCAUCAUCAUUCAGCUCUUGAGCAGCAGUCAAAACAUAUGCAAUCAAAUCAGCCACUGCAUAUCUUUUAGGUGGUCUUAUUGUCCUUCUCUUUCUGUCUCUUGCCAGCUGAUAGACGUCCUCUUCACUUUCUGCUGAUUCAUGUUCAACACCAGCUUCAGGUUCUAUUUUAGCACCUUCAAUUUCAGGCUCAAGUUCUUUCAAGUUAUGAGGCUCCACCUGAAACUUCACUUUAUUAGUUUCAGCACCUGAUUCAGUGUUGUUAAUAGGGCUCCUUGGUCUAUUCAAAAACUCAUCUUCAUGGAAAAUUACAUCUCUGCUUAUGAUGCACUGUGGUGGUUUUGAGUCAACACACCACAAUCUAUAGCCUUUGACACCCUUUGGAUACCCCCAAAAACCUGUAUUUUAAUGCUCUUGGUUCUAGCUUACCCUGUUUUACAUGAGCAUAUACUGUGCAGCCAAAGAUUCUGAGUUUUGUAUAAUCAACCAUUCUCCCUUACCAUAGUUCCAUUGGUGUUUUACAACCUAUAGCAGUUGAUGGGCUCAUGUUGACUAGGUAGCAUGCUGUAUUUAAGGCUUCUUCCCAAAGGGUUUUUGGAAGCUUAGAAUAGAUCAGCAUGCACCUUACCUUCUCCACCAAAGUUCUAUUCAUCUUCUCAGCAAGACCAUUUUGUUGAGGAGUAUAGGUGAUAGUUUUGUGCCUCUGAAUACCAUUCUUCUCACAGAAUUCUUCAAACAACUUAUUGCAGUACUCCAAGCCAUUAUCUGUCCUCAGAGUUUUCACCUUCAAACCAGUUUGGUUUUCAAUAAAAAUCUUCCACUUUUUGAAUUUUUCCAGAACCUCAUCUUUACUUUUAAGUGCAAAGACCCAAAUCAUCCUUGAAAAAUCAUCUAUAAAAGUCCAAAAGUAUCUACACCUACCUAGUGAAUUCACUUGUGCAGGCCCCCACAAAUCAGAGUGUAUGUAUCCAAGUUUCUCUUUGGUGGUAUGAGCUGCAGUCUCAAACCUUAGCCUGGAAGACUUUCCUAAUAUACAGUCUUCACAGAACCCCAAAGCUUCCAUCUGAUCUUUCCCAAACACUUCUUGAUUUUGUAGCUCUCUCAAACCUCUUUCACUCAUAUGCCCCAUCCUCAAAUGCCACAACAUUGAUUUGUUCCCUCUAUUGUCAGUUAUAUUUGCCUCUCCAACAGCAGGGCAAUCUCUUUUAAAAUGCCAUUCUUUAUGGCAAUGGAAACACUUCAAAUUUCUCUAUUUAGACUUUGAUCUGCCUUGUUUCUUUCACUUGCUUUCUCUCUUCUCAGGUCUGCCUCUAGCCAUCAGUCCCUCACUUGAUUCACUUUCUGGAUUAUCUUGCUUAUCUUUCAGUUUCUUGGUGCCAAGAGCAGAUUUGACCUCUUCCGGGGAGAGUGUUUGCCUCCCAUACAGCAAUGCAUCCACAAAGUGCUCGUAUGACUUUGGUAAAUAACUAAUUAGUAGCAAAGUUUUGCUCUCAUCACUCAGUCCUUCAUCAAUAGUCUCCAGUUCAUCACAAACCUUAUUGAACUCGUCUAUAUGCUCAUUUGAUGAUAUGCCCCUUUAAUCAUCUUCAGUGAGAACAUCUUCUUUUUUAUGUAAAGUCUAUUUGCCAAAGACUUUGUCAUAUACAGAUUCUCCAACUUGGCCCAUAAACCAGCAACAGUCUUUUCUUUAGCCACUUCUCGAAUUACAGAGUCACCAAGACUUAGAAUGAUUGUGCUUCUGGCUUUCUUGUCUAUCUAUGCUACUUGUUCUGGGGUCUUAGAUGAUGAAGCCUCACUUCCUUCAAGCUUAGAGACUGGAUCUAUGGCUUCUCCCAGGCCUUGAGCAAUCAGCAAAGCCUCCAUCUUGAUCUUCCACAUGUUAAAAUCAUUUUGCCCCGUAAACUUCUCAAGAUCCACUUUUGAGCCCAUUCUUGAACCUUGAAAUCAGAGUUAAGGCUUUGAUACCAAUUGUUGUGAAAUUAACCCUUUAAUCACUGGAUUAAUCACACCCCAAGAUCUAACUCAGACUCAAAGACUCAAGAAUUAAACCUUAGCUUAUCGAAACAACUCACAGAUCAAAGAACACAGCUCAAACAAAUCAAGAACACACAAGAACUUAAGUGGUUCAACACCUUUGAGGGUGCCUACAUACACUGGAGAAAACAACCAAAACCAGCUUGUAUAUAUAUCUGUUAUGCAGGCAUAACAGAUCCAGAAAUUUCCUUAUAAAUUCAACAGCCUUAACCAACUUGAUCACGAGCUCCUCACGCACCACUUUAAAGCCUUCCUUAAACGACUGCUAGCUAUGUCGUUUAAGCUUAUAGCAGGAGUGCGUUAAUCACGUGAGGUUUAAUGGUUUUGUACGACAUUAUCAAGUUGUCUCAAGUUGUCGGCUCUAGAAUCUUGUUCAACUGAAAUGACAUGUCACUCAUCUUCACAACUUAAAAACGACAAGUUGUUCUGACGAGUUUGAGUUCAUUUCCACAGGCUGCCACGUGUCUCUUGUGCUUCCAUUCUAAGUUGUUUCGUGAUUCAGUAUGUAAUUCUGCUCGAUUGAUAUUAUAUUUUACAGGAGCAAGCCCAGAGCCCAUUCCACAUGACAAGGCAAUGAGCAGCUGCCAAAAGUUUUUUAGAGUACGCAUCGAUUCAUAUCCUCUUCAUCCUUUAAUUUUUUGUCAGCAAAGGCCUUCACUUGACUUUCAUCACCAGCCAAUGCUCCAGGAUUUUUUACGGCAAAAGAUUUAGUAUAUGUCAUUGUCUCAGUGGAAAAUGUUAGUGAUAACCUGUAUGCAUCCUCCCUCUGGUCUUUGAUUGAAUGUAAUUCUAAGAGAUGAGUAAAGUAGAAGCGGCAGCAGAUCAUGAAUGUAAUGAUUCGCGCCCAUAAUGUAAUUAUAAUGAUCAAGAGAUAGGCCGCAAUGGUCAAAGCAACAUCUGAAAAAGCCUUCAAGCACUUCUUAUCAUUAGCUGAAUUUGACUCUGAUUCUUACCAGAGACAUGAACAAAAGAACACAAAAAUUGGCAGCGGUGCAGCAAUUAGAAGGCAAGUGCUUGGAUGGCCCUUCCAUAUGGUGUCAUAAGCUUGGAUUAAUGCUUGCCCUUCCCCACCAAGAGUAUUCAAGAUCUUUUGUCAUGCCCAGGGGCGGAUUCACCUUAGGACCAGUGGGGACUUAAGCCCCCACUGGAAAAAAAAAAUUUUAAUAAUUAAUUUAGUUUUCAUAAAAUUCUCAAUAAUUUUUUCUAAAGCCCCCACUAAUUUAUAGUCAAGCCUACAAUACAUAAUUAUACUUAAAUUCUCACAUUCUAAUUUUUUAAAUUCAAAUAAAAAAAGAUGGACUUUGCAAACUAAAAUCAAACUCAUAAAUAUUAAUAUUAAUUUAAUUUUUAAACGGCCCACAAACUCAUUAAUAAUUUUUUUUAUUAAUCUUACUUUUCCAAUUCCACUACUAAUCCAACGCCCAUAAAAAAUUCCUAAACAUUUACUUAUUUUGGUUGUUUACAUAGAAAAAAUUUUAUUUAAUAACAUUGAUAAUGAAGUUAUAAUACAAUGUAUCAAUGUAUAGUACAAUGUAUCAAUCUUUUAAAUUUAUAUUUUUAUUACUUUUAAAAAAAAUUUAUGUUACUGUUGAAUAAGCCCCCAGUGAAUCACUAUGCUGUCUCCGCCCCUAGUCAUGCCCCCUCGUGCCCCCAAUUUUUUUAUUUUUUUUUGGUUUAUUAGUUUUUAAUACUAAAAACUCUUACUCUUCGUAGAAUGUAAUCUGACAUAACACUAUAACAUGUGAAUAAAACUCAAAAUUAUGAAAGUAAAUAAUGUAAUAUAUGCAGUGUUUUUAUGCAACCAAUAUAAUUAUAUGUGGCAUUGAUUUAUAUAAAAUAGUUUGUAGAAUAAAAUUUAUGACUCCAACAUUAUUUAUAAUUUAACAAAUAGAUAAGUGACUAGUUAAUCUAGUAGAUUUAAAUAGCAUCACACCCUUUUUCUUUUUUAAAUAGAGUUGAUUAUGGUCCAUUGCUAGAAUUUAAAAACUUCCGUAGCUCAUAGUGAAUCAAAAAAUUACUGUAGCCUAUUAAUAAUAUUAUGAAAAGUUUCAAAAGCAACAAGAAAUUAACCCUCAAAAUUAUUUCUUCAAGUUUACUUGUAUAUAUAAUAUAUAUGACAUGAGCAUAAUGACAAAUUGCUUAUCGUCUCAAACCUAUCAUCAAAAAAAAAAAAAAAUUGUAACGUGACAGCUAUAAAUGUUUCAAAGCACUAUGUAUUACCUAAUUCUAAUAAUUCAGCUAUAAUUGUUUUCAAAUUACGAUGUAUUACCUAAUUCAACCUCUGUAUUAAGAUUUGUCUUAAAUUAUUAUUGGACUUUUAUCUAUUGGCUUGAACUUUUGAGCUAAACAAUUUUUCUAAAAUGGUAUUAGAAGUAAAGUCUCAAGUUUGAAUCUGAACUUCACAUGCAAAAUCUUUAAACAAUUUCUUAAAUUUUAUAACUCAUUUUGAGGCUCUUAUUCUUUUUGGUCCAUCUAGGAGUUUCUAUCUUCAAUUCAUAAGGAAUGUCAUCCCUUUUAAGUAAGCAAUUUCAACACGAAUUGUGGUAAAAAUUUCAGUAAAAAAAUUGGGCGCACUGAGAUAACAUUCUACAAUGGCGACAACAAGAAUUCGCCGCACUCCAACCAUUUGUUUAUUAAAACGAAGACACUGAAGAAACACAUCCGCAAAACACAGAAACAAACCAAGUAGCAGUAGAGUAAAACACAAGCCCCAAGAUUAAAAAACUCAGCCAAAAGCAGAGACUUAUUCAACACAAAUUAAGUAGCUAAUAAAGCUCAAGGACUUUCUUCCAGGAUAGCCUGUUGCUAAUAUCAUCCCACCAGGCACUCACAUGCUUCCUGUCUCUAAUCAUAUACUCCUUCUCCAUCGGCCCAACCAAGUAUUGAGUAAAUGGAAGGUGGCUCAGAUCAGCCAGGCUGAAGAAAUCCCCGGCCAAAUACUUGCUCUUCGACAGCCUCUCCUCGUAAACGUCGAGAACUUUUCCAAGCUUUUCCUCGCUCUCCUUUAUCAAAUUCUCAUCGGCAGGAAGUCCCCUCUUCGCGAAAAAUAAAAUUUGCGUGGUCAUCUGGUAAAUUGGUGGGUGAAAGUUGUGUGCCUCUACUUCCAGCCAUUGUUCCACCAGGCCUCUUUCUUCAACUGUUCUUCCCAGAAGAUCGGUUGUUCCUUGAGACUUGUACUUCUCGGCAUAAUACCUUAUGAUAGCUCGCGAUUCUGCAAAUGAAUCAAUACCUGAAACGUUAAACUUAUAACUACAAUAUAAAACUUCUGAAGUUGAAAGUUACCUGUGCCAUGUUUAAGUUCGUAAUUAGUUAAUUAAAAGAAUACAUCUCCUUCAAGUCUCUAGAGUUUUUCCAAGAUAUUUGUGCAAUUAUUUUCAUAGUUGAUCCAUCUAACUUUUUCAAUAAUUAAUUUUUCUGAUAUAAUUUAAACAUCAAUAAAAUUGAUAUGCAGUAAAUAAGAACUAAAAAAUAACUAAAUGAAUUGCAAAGAAAACAGAUAUACCAAGACCCAACUAUCUGGUCAAUUAACUCAAACCUAAAAGUUAUUUUGCUCUUACUUAAAUUUCACAUUUCAGUAUAUGUGAAAACGAAAGGUGUACCGUAUAGAGUAAAAUCUCCAUCUUGAAUAACUGGAAGGGAUCCAAAAGGCUGCACAUAUUAUUUUGUCAAAAUUGAAAGCAAAAGAGUUAAUUAAUUAAUUAAUCAAAGCAAAUCAAGACACACGAUCUUCAAUAUAGAAGUUAAAUAAUUUAUAUAUACAUAAUAAUAAAAAUGAUGCUUAAUUAAUUGAAUUUAUAAAUGAACCUGUAAUUUGAGGACCGUACACCUUUACCACCAUUGUUGUUGCUUACGCUAAUCUCUUAAUUAUUUCUCACUAAAAGUCAGUGAGUGUGUGCACGGUUCAUAGGAGUUGCGUAUCCGUUUAAUAUAUAGUGCCAUUGUGGAGUUUUUCUUAAUAUUUAUAUAUUAAUUUCCAAUCAGUGAUUGGUGAUGUGAUUUAUAGAUUUAAUGCUGAUGGACCUGAAUUUUGAGUUUUUGUCGAGUACUGAAUAAAUUAGUGAUUGUUAAGAAAGAAAAAUUAAAUAAUAAAUAAAAUAAUGAAUCCUCACUAUUGAUUAGGUGCUCAAACAAAAUUUUAGUUCAGUAUUAAAUCCUAAUCAUGAUUUAUUGAUAGAGAUAAGUAAACCAAUGGUGAUAUGUAACUCUCUUAAUUUAUCUCAUUAAUUAGCCCCUAUUUCUCAACAAAUGCAUUAAUAAGUUUAAAAUAAUUUUUCGCUCUCAACAUACCAAUAUAAUCCCCAAUUUAUCCUUAUUAUCAUUCAUUUCUUUAGAAAUUCCUCAUCUCAAAUUAUGAACCCUCGAUUUUUUUUUUUUAACUUAAUUAAAUUGUUUGUUUCUUAUUUUAGAAUAACCUUGAAGAGAUGAAGAAGAAAGGAAACCUUGCAGCUCAUUGCAAAUGAGUUAUGAAUUAUCACAUAUUUUAUAACUGUACUUGCUUCUCUAUGUUAAUCCAGCAUAACAUACUGAAGUGAAAGAUUGAAGCGAAAGAACCUAAAGGCCGCUGUAAAGAAGACAACUGGUGGAGAAGGAGAUGAAGAGGAUGGGGAUUAAACAACUGGCUUGUACCAAUCCUUGACCAAUUCCAAUCAAGAUUUUUGCAUUGCCAUCAUCUUUCUAUUGCUAUUUUAUCUUUUUUUUUUUAAACAUGUUAAAACAUUCUUAUAAAAGUAGCAGUGAGUGAGUUAAAAGAAAAAAAAUUACCAUUAUUGGAAAAGGGAUAAUCGUUGUCAUAUAUAGUUUCAGUUAAAUAAAUUACAGGUUGAACGGUUUAAAAAAUUAAACACUGAUUGUAAAAGUGUGGUGCAAAUAAAACGUGAAACCCAUUUAUGUUUUUCAGUAAUUCCACGUAAGGACAAAAUGAGACAAAAUUCUCUGUGCACGUCUCUCAUUUCUUUUCUUUCACGUGGCUGUAUAUGCUUUUUGUCUUGAGACACUUUUCUUAAUUUUUCUCACAUCCACACCUCUUUUGCUUUUGAUUUUGCUUUCCCUGCGUCUUUUCAUUCUUUUUGUUUUGUUUUCUCUGCAUGGCCUCUAGUCCUUUGCUCCUUUUUUUUUUUUUUUUUCUAUAUAUCUAUUCCAAUUCUUUUGCCUUUGCCAUGUAAAAAUUGACCAUCAUGAUAAGUGAGAAAAUGGACAUUAAACCUGCUGGGACCAUCUCAUUUUCAAAACUACAAUAGAACAGCGCAAUGAUUUACAAGAUAAUACCAGAAAGCAAUCUCGAUGCAACAAUCUAAAAUCCACACACCGAAAUUCAACUCCAAAUUCAUCUUCUAAAAUUCAUUCAUGCGAUUAAGUUUGGGCACGGAUAGGGUUGGGUUGGGCUGAUAAUCAACUCGAUCCAAUUCGCUUAUAAAACGGGUUAAAAAAAUUCAACUCAACCCAACCUAUUAUAUUUUUCAACCCAACCUGUAGAAUUGCGCAUUGAGUCGGGUUGGGUUGAUUGGAUUGGACUUUUAAAAAAGUCUAUUUUUAUAGUGUGAACAAAAAUAAACUAAUUAAAUGAAAAAAAUUUAAAAACAUAAAUACUAAAAUCCUUAUAACAAAUUCAACAUUUCAAAGUUUAAGAAUCAAAUUAGGGAAAUUAAUAUUACACCACCGCUCUUUUAUCUUAUGUUCAACCACCACAAAAUUUUAACAUGUUCUCUGCACCACUUUUCUUUUUAAAUUUUUAUCAACUAGUCACUUUUGAACUAACACCGUUAAAUAAUUUAAAUGAAAUGAUAAUUUUAUCCCUAAAUAAAUUAAAAGACCAUUUUAUUUUAUAAAAACUUUAAAAAAUAAGAAAAUUAUAAUUAUAAAAAUACUCUUAAAUUUAAUAAAAAUAAAUCCCAAACAGAGGUGCUCAUUUGAUUUUUAUUUAAUUUAGAUUUUACAAAAUUUUAAUAAUUAUUUUUAUUAAAACUUUUUAAUUUUGCAAAAUUUUAAUAAAAAUGACUGAAUUUAUUUAUUAAAAAUUAUAAUUUUUCAAAAUUUUAUUAAAAUAACUAAAUUUAUUUAUUAAAAAAAUCCCAAAAUUUUAAUAAUUCAGGGAUUUUUAUUAAAUCCCAAAAUUUUGCAAUUAUUUUUAUAAGAGAAACUAUCAUUCGUAUACCCUAUAGUUGCUCUAUUAUAAACAAUACUACAACACUUUGAGGGUGUAUUAAUCAUUCACCCUAAGUUGACAAAAUGUAUCUGUCGUCCACCAAAUUGUUACUUGCCGUUUAAAUAGGAUGAUGCCAAUAGGGUAAUUUGGUCUUUUCAUAUGAUACAAGUGAUAAUUUAAGGGUAUAAAAGUGAUAAUUUUCCUUUACUUUAAUUUAAGUUUCAAGGGUAAAAUCGUCAAUUCGCUAUAAUUCCGUUAACUUUCAAACAACAACUAACGGUUUGAUGGUCGGCAGAUAGCUUUUGUCAAUUUAGGGUGGACGAUUGAUACACCCUCAAAGUAUUGUAAUAUUUUUUAUAACAGAGCAACUAUAGGGUAUAUAGUUGAUAAUUUUCCUUUUUAUAAUUAUAAUUUUUAUUUAGAUUUUUAUUAACAAUAAAAAUUCUAAUUUUGGUAUUUAUUUUUAUUAAACUUAGGGGUAUUUUUAUAAUUAUAAUUUUUUUAUUUUUCAAAACGUUUAUAAGAUAAAAUAUCUUUUAAUUUAUUUAGGGUAAAAUUGUCAUUUCAUUUAAAUUAUUUAUCGGUGUUAGUUAAAAAAUAGCUAAUCAAUACAAAUUUAAAAAGAAAGAUGGUGUAAAAAACAUGUUAGAAUUUUGUGGUGGUUGGAUAAACAUAAAGCAAAAGAGAGGUGGUGUAAUGAUAAUUUCCCAUCAAAUUAUUAGUAGUACAUAACUAAUGAAAAAAAUCCAUAAAUUUAAAGUCUUUUUUAAUACAAAACAUCAAAGUCUAAGAAGUGAGACCAGUGAAUAAGAGAAAAAACGAACAUGACUUGUUAAUACUAAAAAUAUUACUGCAGAACAAUGCUCAGCAGAUAUUUGUCAAAAAACCUUUUCCCAAAGAUAGUAAUAAUUAUUAUUAUUAUAUUCAUGUUAAUCCGAUUGAGCUUGACACCAUCAUAACAACCAAAAAAUUGACCAACUUUUAUCAAUAAAAAAAUAUUAUAAAGCACCAAAUCAAAUGGACUAAACCUUUUAAUAAUAAAAAAAUUUGAUCAACUUCUUUCAAAACAAUAUUAAAUUAGUAAAUUAGAAAGAAGAAAAAACUUGUGCAUGAGACAAUGUGCAGUUGGGCAGCUUUUCAAGAAAGCUUGUGAGUUGUGAUGUUGUUGUGUUCUAUGCACAAGCAGAUGAGCAACUGCUUUUUAAACAAGAGAAUUUGAGUUUAGGGUUCUAUAAUUAAGAAAGUUGCUAAGAUGCAUUUUAUAUUUAUUUUUUUAAUUUUUAAUUUUUUAUAUAUACGGGUUGACAGGUUGGGUUGGGUUAAAAUUUUCAACCCGACACAACCCACAAUGUUUGGGGGUUUGGAAUUUAAUAACUCAACCCAACCCAUAUAUUUUAUCAACCCAACCCAACCCAACCCAACCUACAAAAAAAAUCAUACAGGUCGGGUCGGUUUCACGGUUGGGCAGGUUGGUGCCCACCCCUACAUGCAAUACCUAAUUUUUACUCUCAUUUCGUACAGAAUCAUAAUAGCAUUAAAUUACCCAUUGGCGCGGCUAAGUAUCGAUGGGUGACGAUGAAUGUUGGGGUUGAUAGGCUAUUAGUAGUAACGAAUUGUGGCGACCGAUGGUUGUUAGGGUUUUCAUAUUUCUUUUAUCCAUUAUGGGAAAUGACUGUAGGGGUGGGCAAAAUAUCUGACCCAACUCGAUUAAAAAAAUGUCGGGUUUUGAUCGAAUCAAGUUGUGAAUAAAACCCGAUUAGAUGCAUUUGUGUUAACCCGAUGGGAUCAUGAUCGAAUCAAGUUCACCCGAUCGGAACCUGAUUCAAUCCGAAAACCCGAUCUGGUUGACACAAAAUUAAAAAAAAAAAAUCAGAAAUAACAAAAUUAAAAAACCAAAACUAAUUGCUAAACAAAUAAACUCCAAAUCCUAAACACACACACACACGAUCUACACACAGUCAUGCACAACCAUUACACGAACAAACACCGAAACACAGUCACAAAAACAGUCAAACACACACAAAGUUUAUGCCCACACCCACCCACAGGCCACAACCUCCCUCUCUCGCAUCCCAUUAUCAACGGCAAUAAGUGACACUCACGCAGCCCACACCCACAGCCAAACAAACGAAACAAAAUCAUGAUUCACAAACAGUCAAACACACAAACAAAGUUCACAGAGCAAGCUGGAUCCAGCCACCAAAUGCAGUAACCACGGAGAGUCAACGCCAACCGAAGCUACUCUGCGAGGAUCAUGACCCGAUCUAUUGAUCUACUGCUACCAAGUAACAGAUCUGCUGCGCCACCUCCAUGCCUCCAAUCCUCCACUAUCACUGGAUCUAAUCCAAGCUCCAUUCGACCCGGCAAGCUCCAUCUAAUCCAGGCUUCAUUUGGCUAUUGACUUUGAGUUUUGGAAGCUUUGGGUUGUUACUAUAACUUGGUAGAGAUGGUAUAUAUACUUUAUAUAUUAUGUGUAUAAGUGAACAACCAAAUGUGUACAUCAUGUGUGUGUAAAUACUUUAUAUCCAAUCCAAUCCGAAUUUAAUUUGAACCUAUAACCCGAUCUGAUCCAAUCCAAAUUAUAUGAGUUUGGAUGAAUUUUUAUCUAAUCCGACCACCUAAAACUUGAUCGAGUUAAUUCGAACCCAACCCGAAUAUGAUUUUGCCCAACCCUAGAAAUGAGGAUCGACGAAAAUUAAAUAUUAUAAUAUUAGAUAAUAUUUUAAUAUUUUUUAAUAUUUAUUUUAGUUUAGGUUUGGGCCCAGGAUAUCCCUAAAC
This 62743-nucleotide long non-coding RNA is filed under the name Citrus sinensis (sweet orange). RNAcentral's name for it is "long non-coding RNA (CSIN_LNC002997)". Lineage: Eukaryota; Viridiplantae; Streptophyta; Magnoliopsida; Sapindales; Rutaceae. The record is from RNAcentral.